This 83947-nucleotide long non-coding RNA is filed under the name Zostera marina. Its description in RNAcentral is "long non-coding RNA (ZMAR_LNC005614)". Lineage: Eukaryota; Viridiplantae; Streptophyta; Magnoliopsida; Alismatales; Zosteraceae. The record is from RNAcentral.
CAAAGUUUUUGUUUCCAUUAUUAGAUAUUAGAGAAUUUCAAAAUCCAAACAGAUCCACAACUAUAAUAAAAUCAUUUAUUUACAACUACAACAGAAUAGUAUACAAAGUCAACAGAUCUUAACCAACGAAAUAGGAUUUAUGGCUACACGAACCAACUGUUGAUAGUUCUAAGAAGAAGUCAAUGGAAACUACGGUAGGUAAUUUAUUAAAACCAUUAAAUUCGGAAUAUGGUAAAGUCGCGCCAGGAUUGGGGACUACCCCUUUUAUGGGAGUUACGAUGGUUCUAUUUACAAUAUUUUUAUCUAUUAUUUUAGAAAUUUAUAAUUCUUCUGUUUUAUUGGAUGGAAUUUUAACGAAUUAGGUUUAUAAGAGUUAUGAAGUUGUAUUAAAAAAAAGAUUAUAAUUUACUAGACCGUUUUGGUAGUUCGACUGUGGAAUUUUUUUUUCCGGUAUUUCAGGAAUAUGAGUGUGUGACUUGUUAAAAUUGAUCCUAUUUGAUAAAAAUAUGUCUGUCAUCUUGAGAGAUGAUUCUACCUCGUCAGAUAUUUCUAUUUAUGCUAGUGCUAAUAUCUGGAACACGAAAGGGGAUAUAUAGAAUAGAUCAAGAAAAGAAAUAUCUGAACUAUGAUUCAUACCUACUAUUCCUCGUAACCGGAUUCAAAAAAGGGGUAAAAGGCUUUUAUUAAAUCAAACUUCUUUUCCUUCCAAAAAAGGACAACUUUUUUCUGGGUUUUGUUAAGUUUUUUUACUUAUCCUAGUCUCUAAAUAAGUGAUGAUCAAAUCGUUCUUACUCAUAGAACCUUUAAGCCUUUUUUCUGUACCAAAUCAUUGUGGCUAUAGUAUGAAUAUGAAGUUUGAAUCAAUUCAUAAGGUCUCAACAAGAUAAUUCCUAUCAAUAGUAAAACAAGACUUAAUUUGAUUGGUUCUCAGAUGGGGAUACUUUUAUUUUACCAUUCUCGAUAUAGUAUAUGAUUGGUUCGAAGAAUGUCUAGAGAUUCAGGCGAUUGCAAAUGAUAUAACUAGUAAAUAUGUUCCUCCUUAUGUCAACAUAUUUUAUUGUUUAGGGGGAAUCACAUUAACUUGUUUUUUAGUACAAGUAGCUACGGGUUUUGCUAUGACUUUUUACUAUCGUCCAACCGUUACAGAAGCAUUUUUCUCUGUUCAAUACAUAAUGACUGAGGUAAACUUUGGUUGGUUAAUACGAGCCGUUCAUCGAUGGUCAGCAAGUAUGAUGGUCAGUUCUAAUGAUGAUCUUGCACGUAUUUCGUGUGUAUCUCAUCUCACAGGUGGAUUUAAAAAUCCCCGGGAAUUAACUUGGGUUACUGGUGUAGUUCUGGGUGUAUUGACUGCAUCUUUUGGUGUAACUGGUUAUUCCUUACCUUGGGACCAAAUUGGUUAUUGGGCAGUAAAAAUCGUAACAGGCGUGCCUGAUGCUAUUCCUGUAAUAAGAUCACCCUUGGUAGAAUUAUUACGUGAACUCUGCAAUGGAGCUACCAACUAAAUUAAUUUCUGAGUCAAUAUCCUUAGUUUCUAUUAACUCGGGCUCUUUUUUUUUCCUAUCAGUAUUGACGUUUUAUCACAUUGCUUUUUAUGAGAUUGUUCAUAAACCAUACAUAUUGGAAUUCGAUUAUAUCAUUAUUAUUUUUCUCUCUCUUUCUUAUUGAAGUAUUAAGGAUUAAUAUUAUCUAAACUAAGUUAUGCUAAGUAGAUAGAUUGGCCCACACUCAAGGCCAAUAGAAUAGUUAGUAUAAAUAGUAUUGUUGUAAUUAUUUUAUUCACUUUUGAUAAAUCUUAAUACAAAGCAAAAUCCUAGGAUUUUUCAAACGUCUCAUCUCCCCUCCGCGACUCCUCACUAUCCUCCCCGGUCUCCCAACACUGCUCCGACUCACACGUCACCGGACUCACUACUUUCUUCAUGGUAUCAGAAUCCUCGUGAAGUGCUGCGUCGACGGUUGCUCUAGGAACUCCCAAAUCAAAACUUCAUCCGCACAGUCGCUGUUCAAAGCAAAGCUCCUCAAACCGCGUUUGAUUUCAAAUUAUGGCUGAAAAGGGACCAAGAGGAGGUCCACUCUUUGAUCCCACAUCCCCCUACUUCAUCAAAUCAUCUGACUCUGGCCCUUUAUCAGUUAUCAAUGUAUUACAAGGCAGUCAAAAUUACUAUCCUUGGAGUAGGGAGAUGACCACUAUCUUACUGACAAGGAGGAAAUUGGGUUUUAUUCUGGGAACAAUCAAAAGGUCUGCUGUUGAAGAUGCAGAAGAACUUGAGGCUUGGACCACCUAUCAUGGAGUGGUCAGGCAAUGGAUCUGAAGCUCAGUCUCCAAAGAUAUAGCCUCACAGAUCAUGUACACUGAUGAUGUCUCAGUGGUCUGGAAUGAUCUUAAAGAUCAGUUCAGACAAUCAAAUGAGACUCACAUUUAUCAACUAUCUCAAGAUGUUUCCAUGAUAUAACAAGGCAAUGACUUUGUCUCAAAGUUCUGCUCAAAUCUGAAAUCCAUUUGGAGAGAAGUUGAUGCAUAUGGUGAGACACCUCAGUGUAGUUGUGGAAAGUGUGCCUGCAACAUGAGUGGCAGGGUUACUGACAGGGAGGACAGACUUAACAUCAAGAAGUUCCUCAUGGGAUUAAGAGAUGACUUCAGACAAGUCAGAUCUUACAUUCUCUCAAUGAAAAAAUUGCCAAAUUUUGGUAAGGUCUAUUCCAUGGUAAUUCAUGAGGAAUCACGUACAACAACUUUCUGAACACAACAACAGUCACGAAGCCUCUGCUUUCUACUCAGCUAGAAAUCAAAGUUCAAAUAGACACUUCAACGACGACGACAACAAUGCUUCAUCAUCACAAGCACCAUAACCAUCUUAUGCUCCAGCACCCCCAAAUACAAAGAAGAGACCUCCCAUUCCAACUGAGCCUCUUUACUACAAAAGUGGCAAACAAGUCAACACCAGCUAUUAUUGCUUCCACUGUGCAGCCUUUGGGCACAGUGAUGAAAAAUGUUUUGUCCAACAUUGGCACCCUUCAUCCAAGGGCACCUCAUUCACAAGGAAAGCCAACCCUACAGUGACUUCAACUGCUGAAACAAACAAACCACAGGGCUCAGCCAACUGUGUAUCUACUGAAGAAGAUUGGUCUGCCUAAUCUGCAUGGGACAAGAGUAAGAAGAAGACCGAGGACUCUGAAAAUCCAAUUGGCCCUCAUGAGUUCCCCCUAUACUCAGAGAAAUACAAUCCCAAGCCUCUUCCCAAAUACACAGGCUCAGGUACUGCAAAUUCAAUUCUUAAUGACAACCAUCUAAAACAAUAUUGGAUCAUUGACUCAGGUGCAUCUGAUGUGGUUGAAUUCCUAAAGGACAAAGGAAUUAUCCACUACUCUAGUUGCCCACACAAACCACAACAGAAUGGUGUGGUUGAAAGGAAACACCAACAUUUUUUGAAUGUUGCUAGAGCACUAAAAAUACAGUCCUCAUUACCCAUUGAGUUAUAGGGUUAUUCCAUACUUCACUCUACAUUCAUCAUAAACAAAUUACCCUCCAAGGUAACACAAAAUCUCUCACCCUAUGAGCUGAUACACUCAAAAGAGCCAAAAUUCCAGAGCCUUAAGACAUUUGGAUGCCUAAGUUAUGUGACAUGCCUCACAAAAGAGGACAAAUUCUCUCACAGAUCAAGAAAAUGCAUUUACUCGGGUCAAUCUCCAACCCAAAAGGGUCACAUUACAUAUGAUCUAGACAACCAUAACAUCUCUGUUAGCAGAGAUGUGAUAUUUUAUGAAAAAAUAUUUCCUCUUAAGGAGGAAGGAAAUUCAGAUGAACCAAGCCCUAAAAAACACAUAAACCAAGAGGAGAGUGACGCACCAUCCUCUGAAACAGAUGAUGAGAGUACUCUUGAAACACCCACUGAGACUGUGAAAAUUCAAGAACAAAUCAAUGACCAAUCAGUAGAGGUAGAUAAUCCCUCAUCAGAAUCCAACACAAAUCCUAGGAGAUAUCCUAGGAGACAGACUAGACCACCAACAAAGUUAGAUGACUACUACUAUUCCUUUGCAACCAGUGAAGGAAAAUCAAGAGGGACAUCAUUCCUAAUGCAUGACUAUCUAGCCUACAAGAGGCUAUCCACCUCCUACACUAAUUACCUAGAUAAAAUAUCCAUAACCACUGAACCAUCCUCAUUCCAACAAGCAAGCCAAAGCCCUGAAUGGGUAAAAGCUAUGAAUGAAGAAUUUUCUGCCCUAAAACUAAAUGACACAUGAGAAAUGGUACCCAAACCAAAAGGCAGAAAGAUAGUAGGAUCUAGAUGGGUAUAUAAGGUCAAAUACAAAUCAAAUGGGGACAUUGAAAGACUUAAGGCUAGAUUGGUGGCCAAGGGCCAUACUUAAGUAGAGAUUUUGACUACAGAGAAACUUUCUCCCCAGUAGCCAAGAUAAUAUCAGUAAGAACCCUACUUGCAGUAGCAUCCAUUAAGAAUUGGUCAACAUACCAAAUGGAUGUCAGCAAUGCAUUCUUGCAUGGUGACCUAUCAGAAGAAAUCUAUAUGUCACCACCCCCUGGUAUGUUAUCACCAAAUGACUCUAGAGUUUGUAAAUUUAAAAAAUCUUUAUAUGGUCUAAAGCAAGCCAACAGAAAUUGGUAUAAGACACUACAAGAAAUACGACCUUGUAUGACGGUUUUUAAAUGUCGGAUUUCCGCUAUCUAAAGACCGCGCCAUGGUAAUGACCGCCAUUAUAACCCCAUAACCGUCAUCUAUUAUUUAUCACUAUUUCCCACCAAAAAUAGUAUAGAUGACGGAUUUCAGCCAUCUAAUCUGAAAAUUUUCGCCAUGUAACUGAAAAUUAUAAGAUGGCGGACAUCCGCCAUGUAAAAUAUGGUGCAAAAAAAGUUGGCGCCAAUUCAUCGAUGGAGGUUAAUUUUAUUGAUGGCGGAUGUCCGCCGACUAUCUUUAUAAUAUUAGAUGGCGGAAAUCCGCCAUCAUAAGUACGUUAGGCCGUUGCCUGCGAAUAUAGAUGGUGGACGUCCGCCAUGUAAACUUUAGUUUAAUAGUAUGGAUGGCGGAAAUCCGUCAUACAAUGUUUGUGUUAUUUUUUUUAAAACAGACUAUUAUAUUAAACGUUCGAAUCGUUAUUUUUUUGAAUUAGAAUACGAUAUUUGAAAAGUUGAUUUUGAAAUACAGAAUCGUUAAACAUUCGAAGUUUAAAAACGAAAGUACAAGUUUACAAUAUUAAUCAACACUCAUUGGAAAUAGAGUCGUCCGAAUCUGAAUUCGAAUUAUCUGAUUCUAAUGCAGACGGUAUGCUGGACUUCGAAGUGGACGCAAUGCUCGUCAAAUCUAGUCCGGAAGCCUUCAAAGCUUUAGUCAUCUGUUUGAACGUCGAUUUCAUUGAUUGAAACUUCUUCUUGUAUUUCGAGAUCCCUUUUUGACUCUCGUUAUACUUGUUCUGAAAAUUAAAACAUAAAUGAGUUCGAUAAUCAAUAAAAUUAAUGAAUUAUAUUUAAAAUACCUCCAAGUUUUUGCUUGUUCCGUCAACAUAUUUCAAUCGUCAUUAGCAGACGUGUUUUCGGAGACAGACUCUUUUCCUUUCCAAUUUGGAGAAGUCCAUUUUUCGUUCGUUGUACUAACCAUACUGGUCGCUUCUCCAAUCCCUAAAAUCCUAUUCUUUUAUAUUUUUUCCGAAAGUCUUGUUGACCGUCACUUCGAUAAAUUGCUGUAUUACCAGAUCGCUCAUGUUAUGAUCUUCUACAUCUUAGGUCUCCCUGUUCCGUCAUCUGGCUUAUGUUCUUCAUGUAGCAUUCAGACCAAAUGACUCUAUGAAAUUACGUCGAUACUUCCAUAUAUCACGGGUAACGUAGAAGACAUCUCUAUUUUUCCUCGGGGAUUCUUAUAAUUACCACUGCUUAGUUUUCAAUUCGCCUCUGACCAUCAAAUUAAAUGUGAAUAACCCAUCUCCCUCUUUUUGAAACAAGGGACGCUUCCGGUUCUGUUCGUGCUUCAAACAAUUUUGUCUUCUCCAUAUUACCAUAUCUCUAGAGUCAAUAAUUUUCUAUGAAGAACUACUGAACUCAAUCACUUGUUGCCGUUACUCAACAGUUUUCUGUUGAGGUCUAUCCCGUAGAGGUAUUCAAAUUGGAUCAGUAAUCGAUUUAUAGGUUUCGUCGUAAACCUAAUUGGUUACUUCCAAUUACGUAAAUCAAUAGUACAUUUCAAUUACGUAAAUCAAUAGUACGUUCAAACCACACUCAAAGGUAGAGCAUUUCCCAUUGAUAUAGAAACUUUUGUAUCAGAAACAAUGGUAUCCCCCUCUGGGAUGUAAAAUAUAUCUCUUCUCACCAUCCUCAUAGUGUAUGAGACAAAUGUAUGCAUUUCGAUUAGGAUCGUAUUCUAUGGUUACGAUUCUACCAGAUAUGUCUUUUUCAUUCCGUUGAAAAUCUAUUUUACGGUAUAGACGCUUACGAUCUCCCCCUCUAUGCCCCACGGUAAUGAUUAAUUCUUCUCGCAUUAUGACCUUUACCACAAUGAUGCUGUCCAUAGAUUAAAUUUUUCUGUGGAUUGGAUUUCACUUGACUGUCUACGGCUCUGUUGCGUGUACUCCGGGUAGAAGUUUUGUAUAAAUGUAUCGCCAUGUUAAUGUUAUUAAGUAUUUUGCUUUAAGUUCUUUUCUCUAUAAGAGGUGGAAUAUAAUAACCCGGUUGAAGCGUAAUGAUCAUACGUCUGUAAUUGUAAUGCAUUGUAUGUCCCAUAAUAAGUCCCAUUCUUCUACCUUUUCUAGGGAGUCGAUGACUAUUCAUAGCUAUUACCUUGACACCAAAGAAGAGUUCGACCCAAUGCUUUAUUUCUGUUCUAGUUGAUCCUGAUUCGACAUUAGAAGUAUAUUGAUUGUUCUCCAAUAAUCGAAUACUUUUUUCUGUAAAUACUGCAUAUUUGAUUCCAUCCAUAAAUCCAUUUUCUUCCCUAUGAGUUCCAGUAUCGAUAAGAAUUCUAGUUCUUAUUGUUCGUAUGUUAUGUAUGAACAUACCAUACCAAUUCGUUAUGUAUGGAUGAUGAAAUUCUAUAUAUACAGAGUCAAUUCCAAUGGACUUAUUGAACGUUCCCAUUGACGUGCAUCCAGCAGGAAUUGAACCUACGAAUUUGCCAAUUAUGAGUUGGCGCUUUAACCAUUCAGCCAUGGAUGCUUAAUGGGUAUAUGGUAUCGUGAUUGAAUUGUAUUGUAUCGUAUCGUGAUUGAAUUGUAUUGUAUCGUGAUUGAUUUUUAAUUUAAACGGAAUCUUUAACAGGAAGCAACGAAACGAUCAAUAGAAGAAAUCGAUGAAAGUUCAGGAAUCCAUAAAACAAUAUCAAUGUAAAUUGUGGAUCGUCGAAUUGAAAGAGAUAUUGAGAGAGAUCAAGAAUUUUCAGUAUUUCUUAGAUUUAUGGAGAAAAUUCGAUUCCGUGGGAUAUUUCACUCACAUUUUUUUCUAUCAAGAGUGUUUUCUUAAACUCUUUGACCUCCGAAUUUGGAAUAUCCUACUUUUACGUGAUUCACAGGGUUGGUUCAACAAGUAAUCGAUAUUUCAAAGGUGUAGUACUGCUUAUUGUAGGGGUUCCUUUCAAGCGCUCGGAAAAUGUUAAUUUAUUCAUGAGCUCUAUUUACAAAAUACCGUUUCCUUGAUGAGUUUUAAAAAAGAUUGUUCGAGACCUGUAUAGGCCAUUUUAUUUUUAAUUUUUUGACAGUUAAUUGAAUUGAUAUUUUCUUAAUCGACGUGAUGUUUUCAUCUCACCUCAAAACGACAAUACUGAUGCACAUUUUUCACUCUUAAAUCUUCGAUCAUCUUACCACCCUAUAACUUCUUCUAAUCUUCUUCCUGAUCACCAAAAUUUAGUUUCUUUUUUUUUUUAAAUUCUAAAUCGGUUAUCUCCAUCAGCUGUUUGCGUUUAUAAUCGAAUGAGAUUGCAACUAUUUUGCAAGUUCCAGAUUAAAUGAGAUUUUAGCAAAUGGGUCUGAGUGUUUGAUUUUGCCUCAACUUUUGCGCAAUCAAAUAUACGAUUCUUUGAUUAAAUUAUAUUUUUACCAACUCUGAUUCUCUAAUGCUUGAAUCUUGAUCAAAUUAAGGCCAAAUAUUACCAAUUACUUAAUGAAUCAUACUGUAUUUUAAAAUAAACCGAGUCAAUCGUUUUAAACAAAAAACCUAACUCGAAAUUUUAAUUUUUUUUUUUGUAUCGAUUCAUACUCUAAUAAGACUAACAAAAAUCAAUCAUCGUUCUCAUUGUGAAUACAUGAAACUUAGAAUUACAAAAACAAAGCUUAAUAUAAUAAGCAAAGAAUUAACAUGCUUUCGUAAAAAAAAUUAAGCUCCAAAAUUGAAUAUCUUAAUAUAAUAAAUUAGACAGAACAACAAGCUCGACAAUCCAUAUUAUCUAUCCAUUCUAGAUCGCAAACAACAUGAUAAUACAGCUUUACCAAAAGGAAGUAAUCUCUAGAUAUGUCUUAAUCACCCUUCUUCCGAAAGGAGCAGCCUUCAGUGAGUCUAGCUUUGCCGCCAGUAGGCUGACAUAAAAUCGUCUGGCAAUUGGAGCACACAACAACUGUUUGAGAGUGGCUAAAAACUGUAGUUCUGCGUAAAAGAAAGAAAACAAGUACAUGAUUAAACCCUUGUUAAAUAAAAAAGAUGAAUGAUUAUUUAGAUCAAUGCAAAUAUGCAAUAUCGAUUCUUCUGUGUAUUUCAAGGUAUAUUACAAACAUCAUUUAUAACUAAAAAUGCAAUAUCAAUUUCAAUUAACAUUACAAACAUGAAACAUCAUUUAUAAAAAUUGUGUUCAGGUUCAAUACACAAUACUUAAUAUCCAUGAUCAAAUAAAGUUUUUUGUCACAUAUACUUAGAUAUUUCAAAAAGAUAUUUAUAGUUCACAUUAAAUUUAACUCUCUUUUAGUAGAGGAGCAGAGAAAGACUUGUGAGAAAUGUCAGUCCUUCCCAAAAAUCGGAAUGUAGCAGCAAGGAAUAAUCUCAAAUAUAUCUCCUUGAGGAAAAUAGGGCUUCUAAAAGCCUGUCGUCUUUCAGUAAUAAAAACUAAUCCAUUUCCAUCGGGUUUCCUCAUUUAAUUAAUUUAAAUUUAUAUAAGUACUCUGACUCAAUGUUUUGAUUUAGUCAUCACUAUACACUAGCAUUUAAUUUUCUAAUGCGAUAUUAGCAGUACUGCUAAUAGCACCUAAAUGAUUUAGAGCAAUUUAGUUACACUGUUUUAAUGCGCUAUUUUGUCGCAAAAUUACGUUAAUAGCUCAUUAAUUUUUUUUGUAAGUUAAUGGCUAAAUAGGUAAUGGACCUAUAUAUUAUAUCAUAAGAUAUAUUAAAAGUUAUAACUUAAGGGUAAAAUAGUAAAAUAAAUUAUUUAUUUGAUUAAAAUUAUAACCAUUGGAAUGAAUCAAACCAUUCCAACAGAUCUCCCCCUCCCUCUAUCUUUCUUCUUCUUCCUUAUUUACUGAUUUCCAGACUAUUUUCGAAGUCUUCAUCUCCAUUUUCUCCAAGUCUCUAUCUCCAUUAUCUCAAGGUCUCCAUCUUCACAAUCCUAUCUUCAAUUCUCCAAAUCUACAUUUUCCAAUUCUUUUCUGAAAAUCCAGACUUCAUCAAAGACUACAAUUCUGCAAAAACCGUCACAGAACGAUUUUUGAAGAAUAGCUCAAUUCUGCAAAUCCAACUUCAGAGCAUGCAAUUUCAAAAUCCAGAGCCCUUCUCCGUGUUUCCUUGUGAACACGCUUGGUUUGAUUCUUUUAACUCUAUUUAUUUUCGUAAUUAGAUUUUAUUCAACCUCAACCAAAUGAUUUUUCCCAUGUAAAACCCAAAAAUUCUAAGGAUCCUAGUUGAAGAAAUGCUUGCUAAAAAUUGAGGCCAGAUUCAUCAUCCGGCGACAAUGACACAUCAACGACUUAAGGAGACACUCAAUGGAAGAAAUAAAAUACCACAUAUGACUAUGAGAGUAUGAAAAGUCAUAAAACCUAUCAUGUAUCUCUAUUUAUCUAUUUCUAUAAUUCUAUUUGCUAUCUAUGAUCUAUCUAUUUUGGAAAUAUUUCUAUUCCAAUUUCUAUUGUAUGCUUUAUGUUUUAAUGAAAUGAUUAAGUGAAUAAUCUUUAUUUUAAUUUUUAAUCAAUGAAAUCUCUUCAAAUAAAUAAAUAUAUUUUUCUGAUUUUUUUUGCCCAAAAAAAUUUUAGCCACAGCUAAAUCGCUAGUAGCGACUAAUUUCCUAAUGCACUAAAUGCGCUAUUUAUGAUUCCAGAAUAUUGCUCUGACUGAUGACUUAUCAAGACACCAGUCAACCGACCUAACAAAGGCAUGGCACUCAGCAUGCAACUAAACACUGUUUAUGUGCAGGCAUCAUAAACAACGUAUUUAUGAAUUAGGAUGGUAAAUUUAAUAUGCUAAAUUACUUCCAGUAUCUAUGUUGAUGUCAGUUUGGAGUGGAGUGUAUUAGAAGAUCUUCAGGUUCAACAUUCAUGACUCGUGAAGCAGUAGAAGAAAAGGUGAAAGUAAAGAAUGUUCAGCUGAUCUUGAAGAAGUUAUUAAGUAAGGUUAACUAUGCCAAAUUUAUAGUUAUGUAAUAUGAUAUAAAAUAAAUUUUAUUUAUAAAUCAAAACACAAAAAAUUGAGAUUAUUUUUUAUAGUAAUAUAGUUGUCUAAUAUCUACAUCAUACAUUCAUACCUAACUAAUAAAUAAAAUUAGUUAGAUUAACAUACAUGCCUCCAUUGCAAUGAAAUGAAUGGAUAAGGUAAUUACUAGUAGCAAGUGUAUAUAUGCUACCAGAUUCAAUGGAAUACUGAAUUAUAAGAGUAUCACUCUCUCCUACAUAACUACACCUUUCACUUAUAAUUUUUAUUAUUAAUUGAUAUAAAAACAAUCAAAACAUUGAAACUUAUUUGAAUAGGAAAAAAAUUGAUUGGCUUUGAUAGAUGAGUGUGUUCUAACUGACACUGAUUAGUUUAAUUAAAUUUUUAUUUGCUUGUAAAAAAGAAAAAUUUAUGAGUGCUGCAAUGCAGUACCGAUGAAAAAAACACAAUGCAGGAGAUAAGAUCUUACAUGUUAAAGCACCCUUGGCAUUUAACAUCCUACAAUGAAAACGCAAGAUCAGUAAUCAAUAUCAAAUGUCAAAAAAAAAGCAAGCAGGCAAAAAAAUGUCAGCAUAAGUUAACCAUGAAGAAGGAAUUUGGCGACUGAACAAGACGCUUCAACUUGUGCCUCCUCUUCUCAAGAUCGACAGGAGGGUUGAGCAGAUCAACAUCGUUGGGGAGAACCUAAACAUGUAAAAAUCAUGAGAAUGGACAAAAAAGGAAAAAUUAAAAGUUGAUUAUUUGGUCGACGUUCCCACCAUCUUAAAUAGGCGGCGGGGAAAGGGGGAAAAAGAAAACCCUACUGAAAGUCUGAAACUGGCCAAACGAAUAGAAAUAGGGAUCUUAUUUAUAUGAAUUAUAUUCGGAUCAUAACGAAAGAUCCAUGUCUGAUAACCCAAAUAUAGGUAAAGUCCAAACCCUAAACGACCAAUUCUUUAAAGUCCAAACCCUAAUCGAUCGGUUAAUCCUGGAAAGUCCCAUUUCCUUCCCAAGCGGCCGUCGGAUAACCUAUUCCCACUAUAAAAAGUCACCGACCAUCUUUUCUCUACGGAUUUUUUUUCUCCAAGCCGCUUGUUAAGCUCCUUAUUUCUUUCGUAUGUUCUUUUGAUAAUCUAUGUUGUUGACUUGUUAUGAUUUUUAUUUUUUAAUGAAUGCACACUAGAAAAAAAAGUCUGAUCAUCACCAUUGCUCUGCUGAUUUUAAUCAUCACUGGUUUUGAAUUGUUUCUUGGUUACUUUCUUUGGAAGCUAAAAAUUUGCACUAGAAUUAUUAAUUUAUUGAAAUUAACUCUCAAAAUCCUUUUUUUUGUAUUCUUCAGUCUAACAAAACGAACCUGUAAUGGGAAAGCGAGGAUCAAAGAGCAAUAAGAGGUCUGGCGCUUCUGCUAGAUUUAGCAAUUCGACUAAAAAACGUCGGGAUGCUGAUCCAGGCUUCGGAGGGGAGGAUGAUUUGGACGACCAAAUUGAUACAUGUGUUGUCUUAAAGCUGAAAUUUUUCAUUGACAUUAGUUUUUACGGGUUACACAUUAACGUUUUUUUGUCUGCUAUUUUUUUUUGUCUCAGUUCAUAAAGAAAGAGAUAUAAUUCCUCUCGACAUUAACUCUGGUAAUAAAAUCGUUUUAUAUUCAAGCAAUGACUGCUCAAUCCUUGUUUUAUUUUAUUUUAUUUUUUUGGUAGGUGAUAUUUCUGAUGAUGACGAUGCGGAGCAUCCUGUCUUUGAUUUUGAGGUACAUGGAUAUAAGUAUAUACUUGGUGCUGAAUGCUGAUUGCUGAAUUUAUGACCUAAUGCAAAUUUUUUGUAUCGUUAAAUGGAUAAGUCCUUUGAAAUUUGAAUUGUGUCAGCACUUUCCUUGUCUUAAUAUUGAUUCAUUCUUGUUUGACCUGGUUUAAAUUAUUUAUAAAGGAUGAUGACAGCAAUGACAGCGAUGACAGUAAUAAUAAAGAUAAUGACAAUGGUGAUGACGAGACUGUCGAUAGACUUCCACGUUUUGCGGCAAAAAGUAAGUUACUAAAGCAUAAAGAACUCUAGAAUGAAUCUCAGUGUCCUACAUUUUUGUUCAUUUUAUUUUUCUUAAAACCCCAAUAUAUUUCAGGUUUCUCAAAUGAUUCUAGUAUUUUUCAAACACUCCGUUAAUCUUCACCUAGCAGUGGAUCUAUCUAUUCCCAUUGUUUUUGUGUUUGAUUUCUUUUGAUGUUUAUUUUAUUCUUCUUUUUUUGACUUUCUUAAUAACAAUUAUAUAGUGGCGAGACAAGAAAAAUAUUUAAAGCAACAAAUGGGAGGAAUUGAUAAUGAUAUCCAUGAUAUGGAUGGUGAAUCUGAAGAAGAAAAAAAGAUGGUGUGGGGAAAACAUAAAGAUAUGUACUUCAAUGCUGAUAAUGGUGACAACGAGGCAAGAGCUUUUAAUCCAUUUUCCCACUUUACUCGAGCAUAGCUAUACAUUUCUUUAUGUGAAUAUUUUGGUCUUCUUUUGGAUUUUUAGAAAUAGUCUGCUAUCUGACUAAAGAAAUAAUCGAUGUUACCUUUUUUUCUUCUCUUUAGUGAUAUGUAGAUAUGGCAUGCUGUUUAAUUUUAUAGAAAUCAGUAAUGACAUGAUUUGUUCCGGGUCCCAGCUAUGUAGUGAUAGACUAAUGCCUCAAAAGGUUGGACUCCCAUAACAAUAUGGCUUCCAUUUCAAUCUGGUGAAGAUUUAUUUUUCUGUAGGGUGUAGCACCAUGUCUCAAUUAGUAGUUAGUUAUAUAAGGUAAAUAAUUGAGUAUUCCCAAGUAGGGAUGUAAACGACUCGAGUCGAGCUUUGAAAGAAUUGGUCGAAUUUGAUAAAAAAAUUCUGAGCUCGAAUUUGAUAAGGUCGUUAAAGCAAAAUUUGAAAUCGACUCGACAUCAACUCGAAUUAAAAAAAAUUAGGAUUAUUUCUGGAUUCGGACAUUUGGUUAUUUAUAUUAUUGUAUAUUAAAUUUUAACCUUUAAUAAUUUAAAUUUUAAAAGAAGGAAAAAAUAUAUUGGGUUAUUUAUAAAUUAUAACCUCUAUAUAAAAAUAUAAAAAAUUAUAAAUAUAUUUUUUAAUUUUCUUAUCAAGCACCUUACCCGAAACUCGAACUUGACUCGACAAGUUUAUCGAGUACCAAUAUCCAAACUUUUAAAUGCACGAUAGCGCUAUGCGUCAGAGGUAUUUUCGUAAAUAAUUUAAAAAUAUAUAAAUUUCAUAUAUUUAUAUACUUAAUUCAGAUAUCCCUUAAAUAUUUAAUUCAGAUAUUUUUAAAUACAUAAAUCAGAUAUUUUUAUUUCAUAUAUUUUGGUUUUUUCACCUCAUAACCAGUCGCGAAGGUCAGAGGAGGGAGUCUUGAUUGGGGGAGGAUUAGGGAAGAUUGGAGGAAGAUUAGGAAAGGUUUUAGGGUAUGCCUUGCGUUUUCCAAAAUACAAGGGAGCCCCAAAUUUUUUUAAAAAUAAAGUGAAGCGGAUCUGGGUUCAGAUUUUAGAUCUUUUAGAACCAUGCCAUUAUUAAACUCGAACUCGAUUCGUUAAACUAUCGAAUCGAGCUCUAGCUCGUGCUGUUCACGAGCUUGAGCUCAAUUUGCAUCCCUAUUCCAAAGUAAGCAUAUUAACCUAUUCAAUAGAACUCACACUGGAUCAGAUUUUUCAUCUUUCUCUCAUUAUUGCUGUUGUAUCUUACCUUCAAAAUCCAUUUUAAACUUACAUCCAGCAUUUCUUCUCCUAUUUAUUUUAAUUUGUAAUAUGCAGCUAACAAGUAGUGAUGAUGAGGAUCUAUGUGCUGAAGAAAAUGAAGCAUUGAAAAUGCAAAGAGAGAAAGCGAAAUCCUUUACACUGGCAGAUUAUGGUUUUGAUGAGGAUGAAAUAGAUAAGGACAGAAAAGAAAGCACAUCAAAGUCCGAAAAUAAAGCCAUAGAAGAAUCUUUUACUGAUGGAAUCCACAAAAGGAAUAUGUGUGAAGAAGUCAUCAAUGUUAAGAAAGAUGUGAAUGCUUUGUCAAAAGAGGAUCAGAUGAAUGUUGUGUAUAGGUAAUUCCUUUUAAAUCCUUGUAUUUUUUUAAACACGAAAUACAAACAUCAAUUUGCCAUUGGAAGCACAACACACUAUUUUUACUAACCUAUAAUUUUUGAAGUCAAUUGCCAUCUUAAACUCCCUAAAAAGAAUAAAAAACCCAGCACAGCCACAGUGUAUUAUGGGUUAUGAAACAAAGAUAAAAAAAGGUACACCACCUCUUCUUAUUUCGACUCUUUAUAUGUUUUUGCAGUUCUGCUCCAGAAUUAGUUGGUCUUCUUUCAGAAUUAAAAGAGACAAUUGCUCAGUUUGAAACUGUGGAUGGUCUGCUUUCCAAGGUAUGUUGACCUUUAACAUUUCUUUGAAAUUGUUAAAAUUGCACAAACCCGUUUAUUUCUAUUCUUAUGGUGGUGUAUUUUUCCAUUUAUUAUUAUUUCAUUCACUUUUUCUAUGUGAAAAACUUCCAAGCUUUAUUCACUAUAUUCAGGGAGUUGGAUCCAUUCCGUAAAAAAGAGUAACAUCAUGAUAAUCUUUUUUUACUUAAUGGACAAUGCAUAGUUGCAUACUAUAGAGAAUUUGGAAUCUGUUUGCAGAUCAAAGAAAAAGAACAUGUAAGGGAAGGAGCAGUGCACUAUAUUGAGCUUAAGAGGAUGUUGCUGCUGAUAUAUUGCCAAGCUAUUGCUUUUUAUCUUCUUCUCAAGUCAGAGGGCCACUCGAUACGGGACCAUCCUGUAAUUGCCCGUCUUGUUGAGAUUAAGAAUUUAAUUGAAAAGGUUAAUUUAUCAAUCCAGAAGAUUUCAAGUUAUAUAUUUUUAAAUGUAUGCAAUCAGUAAUAUGGAUGAGUUACAAAUCAAUUUAGUUUCGAAUAUUAAUACAACAUGCAUAAUAAAUUUCUGACAAUUUGGUAUACUUUAUAGGUUAAAAAUAUAGAUGGGCGUAUCCCAUUUGAUAUUGAAGAAAUUCUAAAUAAUGAUCAUGCGAAUCGUGGAUAUAAAAAAAGCGUUACUUCAGAAUCACAAUAUGGUGCCAUAGGAAUAUCAACUGAUUCAUACGAAGUUCCAAAGGUAUACAUCUUAUUAGUUUUGAAUUAGUUUAUCCCUUCUGGUAUGCAAAUAUAUUUAUAAUAUAUUUCAGGAUCUAGCACAAGAGGUUCUUGAAAAUACCACUCUUAAAGACAAGGUUUGUAAUGAUCAAAUUUGUAUUUUCUUCUAAAUGUAAACAGGUGGCAUCAACUGCAUUUUCUUCUAAAUGUAAGUUUACCAUCGACGAAAAUUGUAAUUAUUUCAGGUCUUUCAACUGGGCCGUCAGAGUAAAGAAAUGCUUAAAGCCAGAACAAAACUUGAGGAAAAGUUAAAGAAAAAUGGCAUUUAUAACAAACUGAAGCAUGAUCCAGAUAGGCAGCAAACCACCUUUUCACAACCACCAACUAAGUAAUGACUCGUUAAAUAAUCAUACAAUUUAAGAAAUGUUGGAAAUAUUCUGCUCUCAUUCUUUUUUUAAUCUUUUAAAUAGGCGAGUUAAAAUAUUUGAAGAUUUCGAUGAUGAAGUUGCGGAGUGUCGAAGUAAUUUGUUAAAAUCAAGCAAACUCUCUCAAUUAGUUGCAACUAAGAUGAAUAAGCCUAUGGUAUGUCAUGUCUGCAGUGUAUUUGUAGAUGUAUUUCUUUUAAUACCUGAUCAAUUUCUCAUUUCUAUUGUCAAGAUUAGAGGUAGCUGGGUAAGUAAAACUGUACCCUCAACUCAAUCCCAUAGCUGUGAAAGGUUGUGAAUUCAAUUCCUACCAAACCAAAAUAGUUUUGAAUUUAUCAUAGUUUUGAAAGUGCCGCUUUAAGCACGCUAAAGCUUUAAAGCUCUCUUGGAGGAGCGCUUUUCCUAGAGCGGGUUCGGGUGAUGAUCCGCCCGAUUAGGCGAUUACCCAAUUACACCUAUUUUUUAAUAAUAUAUUCACCUAAUAGACUUUUUUUCCUAUUCUAUCUUAAAUUAAACUCUUACUCCACUUUCAGAUUUUAGUAUGAAUUAAAUCUUUAAUAUUCUAUUACAAGUGAUUUUAUACUUUUAUAAGGGAUUUGAAUAGAAGAAAACCCAAUCCUUGUCUAACCCUAUGUCCCUAUGGGCUGUGUCAGAUUCAAAUCUGCACUUUCCUAACCCUUAUCUUUCUUUUGUUAACAUAUCUCAAUUUUAAAGGAUUACUUGAUUGUAUAUUUUCUUCUUUCGCUCAAAUUUUCCAGUGUUGAUUGGGUAAGUAAAACUGUACCCUCAACCCAAUCCCAUAGCUGUGAAAGGCUGUGAAUUCAAUUCCUACCAAACCAAAAUAGUUUUGAAUUUAUCAUUGUUUUGAAAGUGCCGCUUUAAGCACGCUAAAGCUUUAAAGCUCUCUUGGAGGAGCGCUUUUCCUAGAGCGGGUUCGGGUGAUGAUCCGCCCGAUUAGGCGAUUACCCAAUUACACCUAUUUUUUAAUAAUAUAUUCACCUAAUAGACUUUUUUUCCUAUUCUAUCUUAAAUUAAACUCUUACUCCACUUUCAGAUUUUAGUAUGAAUUAAAUCUUUAAUAUUCUAUUACAAGUGAUUUUAUACUUUUAUAAGGGAUUUGAAUAGAAGAAAACCCAAUCCUUGUCUAACCCUAUGUCCCUAUGGGCUGUGUCAGAUUCAAAUCUGCACUUUCCUAACCCUUAUCUUUUUUUUGUUAACAUAUCUCAAUUUUAAAGGAUUACUUGAUUGUAUAUUUUCUUCUUUCACUCAAGUUUUCCAGUGUUGAUUUUCUCUCUUUCUUGAUGCUAUGAUAUCUAGAAGUUGGUUUCUGGUGAAGAUGAUUUGCCAAUUAGGGAUGAUAUUGGUGAGAGAAGAAGAAAACAUGAAAUUCGUGUUCUUUCAAGAGCAGGGUCUGGUUUGAUGGAUGCUGAUAUGACAAUUGAACAUGAAGGUCAAGAAAAAAAAGAUUUGAACAUGGACCAGAAUGGUAGUGAUGAUGACGAAGACGACGACGACGAUGAUAUUGGUAGAUCGGAAGAUUCAGAGGAUGAUUUUUAUAAGCAGGUAAAAGGAGAUAUAAUUUCCAAACGUUCAGCCAAAGCAGAAACCAAAAAAAGGUAUGCCGAAUUUUAUAAUUUUGAUACAAAUCAAGUAGUUUAUAUCUUGUCCAAGUCUGAUGAUAACUUAUUAUAUCUUAACAGCACUCCAGUUGUGAUUUCCUUGCCUGAAACCGAAGCAGAUGGUAAACGACACAUCUCAUACCAGGUAAGUCAAUCAACAUACCAUUGUGACUUGUGAGCAGAUCCUUGUUUCAUUCAUUCAUUCAUUUGCUUCUUCAUUACACCACCACCAGAUGGAGAAAAACAAAGGACUCACUCGUUCUCGGAAGAAGGAUACGAAAACCCCUCGAAAGAAAUACAAGGCAAGACAGAGUUGUUCAAUAAAUAUUUAGAAUUUGUUUCGUAGUUUUUAUCAGUAUUUGAAAUAUUCUUAAUUCAUCUGCUUUAAUUUUCCUAUUCAGAUCAAGCAUCAAAAAGCUGUUGUUCGCCGGAGGGGACAGGUUCGUGACAUUCGGAAACCUUCAGGUCCAUAUGGUGGAGAAGGUUCGGGUAUCAAUACCAACAUCAGUCGUAGUGUUCGGCUGAAUCAGUAGUGACUGUGAUAGUUAAAUAAACACUUGUUGUAAUAAUCAUAACUUUGUAAUUUGUUUAAAGUGUGAUUAACAAUUUAGUUUAGACUUAACUACAAACAAAUACCCAAGGUUUUAAGUUAAUCAUUUUAUGGAAUUGAUUUGAGUUGUUAAUCGUUUUUUUCACAUGUUUAAUUUGUAAACCUUGAUUUAAUUGACUAUAAUGAUUGAUCCACAAUAGACAAAAUAAAUAUGGAAUUUUAGUGUUGUAUUAUUAUUCUAUUGGAAGGAAUUUGGCUCUACAAUUCAAGUUAUCCAACAUAGAAACAAAUCCAUAUGAAGAUGCACACGGCACACAGACGAAGUAGAUGACAAACACGCUGUUUGGAUCUUGAUAGAAAAAAACCAAAAUAUGAAUGCAUGCUUACUACAUUAUCAUUGAAACCUAUGUGUUGGAUUACUUGCCAGAACUACAAGCCUCGUCGACAUUCAAACCAUGUGGUCCAAAGCAGAAAUAAUGAGUUCUAGACUUGGUGUUUUUAUUACCUUUCACUAACUCUGGUUUCGUGGAGGAAUUGGCCAUGGAUGAUGCUGACGAUGAUGAUGGUUCCUCCUCUCCCACUAUAUCCAUCUCCGUCGAACUAGCUGAUAUCAUUGAAGAACCAUCGACAGGGACUGGUGCUGGUGUGGAGGAGGAUGAAGAGGAGGAUUUCACUUGAGGAGCUAAAUGCGGCAUGGAUUGAAUCACACCUUGAGUUAGACUAGCGGUCAGUUUUUUCUUUGAUGAUGGACUUGUACUGGUUCUGACGGCGAGAGUUCGCUUGUUGUUCUGAAGUGAGCUUGUUUUCGAGAAUCGUUCCCGGAGUGAUGUUGGAUUGUCUUCUUUCCGGAUCAGAUUUUGUAAGUACUCGUCCUUUUUUCGACUCAGAUUUUUCAAAGAACCAGCUGAACAAUCGUCGUCAGUGCCAGUAGUGGGUGCAGACAAAGAGAGCGGAGUUUUGGCUUUUUUCUUUUCCCUCUUCAGAGGCCAACGGAGAAGGGUCUUCAGACGACUUGUGGCGCUACUCAUGGAAGAGCUAGGUUUCUUUUUGGUCUCUCCUGUUUCUUCCGGUAGGAUAUUCAUAUCAUUUUUACCGAUACUUGAGCAUGAACUAGGUCUUCCGCUUCCGACAGCACUGCCGGUAGUACCGGUGCCGCCACUUCCUAUGUCUUUGCAAAUACCUUCGGAAGAGGUUGUAAUGCCUGUGUAUAAGAAUAUCUCGGCAUCCGAUAUCCUGAACGAAGUUCCCGGACUGUUUAGGAUUCCCCUCCCCUGACUAGACUUCCGACGAUAACUCCUAUUGCAUAUUGCUGAGUUUUUUGCGAUGUUGCAGUUACUGGAGUUCGAUAGCCCUCCAGCAGAUAUCAACCGUUUGAUCAAUAUGUCCGAUGUUGCCGAUCUCGGUCGUUUAUUCAGUAGAUCCAAAGGAGUCAUCCCGUUGUGAUCUUGGACAUUAAGGUUGAUCGAUUUUGUGCCAAGGAGAAGAGAGACGAGUUCGCCGUGAAGAUUCCCGACGGCCAUGUGAAGAACCGUUCUUCCCUCGUUGUUGCGGUAAUUUACGAUCUCUUCGAUGUUGACUAAUGAUCCGUUAAUCAAUUCCUUGAUGAGAUCCAUUUGGCGAUCGAGUCUUCGGAAUCCUGGUGUUCUGAAUCCGGCCAAGGCGAUGUGGAGAAAGGUAUCACCCAUGGAGUUUGUGAGCGACAUAGCCGGGGGAGAUGCCAGUAUCAACGCUUGCAGACAUUGCAGAUGACCUCGGAAUGCCGCGACGUGGAACGACGUGUUUCCUUGAUCAUCUUUAGAGUCGAUUAUGUCGAAGGACGCGACGAGGUUUUUGACUACAUCGGUUCGACCUCUGGCGGCUGCGGCGUGUAGCACAGUGGAGCCGUGGAUGUCUCUGUAAAGUAGAAUAUCACGACAGUUACGAAGCAGAUCUCUGAGAAUCUCCCAACUUCCUCCUCUAGCGGCGGCGUGUAGAGCUCUGGUGAUCAUCUCCGAACGAAAAAGCAAAGCGUCCUCGUUUGUUCCCGUCAUCUCGACAUCUCGCAAUGACCGUGGCGACAUGGAGAAAUCAAACAACAGUUGGAAAACAUCGCAAGAAUUGCUCCUGGCGGCGGCGUAUAGUAUGUCCGUAACACCGAACUCACCUUCUCCGAAAACCAAAAGUGGAUCUCUCUGUAGCAAAUCGUGAACAAACCCCAUAUCUCCGGCAGACGCAGCGGUGUAAACCAACCAACCUCCGUAUCCAGUUUUGAUGAGAGAGUUAUCUCCGGGUGAAAUCUCACACUCAGAAAGCAAGCUACGAGCGACGUUGGACCUGCACCUAGCAACAUCGGCAUAAGCAGAGUCGUCAUCCCAGACCGUCUCGAGGCGGCGGAUCCUGCGGAGAGACGUGAGCUUGAUGAGGAGGUUUGGAUCAAUAUGCAGCAAUUCACGAACGAGAUCGUAGUGUCCGUUUGCCGCCGCCCAGUCUAUCGGCGAUGCGUACCACCAUUGGUCGCCUGUGCUCUCCCACCGGAGCGGAAAGUACGAUGGCGCCAUAAUUAGUUUGGGUCGUAUCCAAAAACAGAACUGAAGAUGAGCCAUGAGGAAUUUAGACGUUUAAUUACGGUUCGUUGGUACUAUUUCUAAUUUUUCGGAGGACUGAUGUUUAAUUUUUCAUUUUCUAAUAAUUUUCUUUCAAAAAGUGUGAAGGAAAAAAACUGCUUUCUUUCAUAAAGGUUUCAUAUUCUAAAGUGGCAAUGGUUGCCCACUAUUCCAUUAACCACUGGUCCAAUCAAUCAUGUGGAAUUUUCAUUUAUUUUUUUACCACCAUGUAACGUAGAUUGUAAAAAAAGUAUUUGGGCCUAGUGGGCCUAGCUAUGUGUACAGUGUGCACAUGCAGCAUAAAAGUCAUGUUGGAACUUGGUGGUUUAGAAAGAAAGAAAAAAACUUUUAUUUUUACACAUUCAAUCAAUCAGACUCUACCUAAUCUUGUCUUGCAGUUGCAGGAAAUAAUGUUGGGAUAAGAAGUGGAUAAAUAGAUAAUGGAUGGAAAAUAUAUAUAAAGAAAAUAGCCAUGUGAGUUUCAUGUUCUCCUCCAGCCUUUAGCAUAUGCAGCUAUCUCAACACUAACUGCCACUCCCAACACUAGUCAACAAUAGACUAGUUCAACUGAUCUUAGUUAUUUUUAGUACGAUUUAUCUGAGAGAUACCCUCAAUUAUAUUAAAAAAAAAUCUCUUUUUGUUUAAGUUUUCUAGGCCUGUCUCUUUGCAUGGACUGAGGAGACAUCGUUAUCAGUAAUUCAGCAUGAUAAUAACACUUUUGUAAUUGGGAAUAGACUUUAAUAAUUACAAGUCCUUAAAAGAAGAAAAACCUAUUUAAUAGCUGGAUUUUAAAAAGAUAAUUUAGAAGCAACGAGUUCAUUUUGUUAGGGUUGAGAUCUCAAGGAUUUAUUACUUUAUUAUUUAUAACUAUGAACCACAGACCGAUCGAACCGUCCACUUCCGAGGCCCGGCCGCGUGAAAGGACUGAGCCAUGGAAAGUCCAGAAGGCUAAGAGGCUCCUGGGAAACCCUAUAAGUACCUCUCCUGAUCCAACAGGGGAGGGGGUUGACAAUUUGUGAAAGAAACCUAUAAGUACCUCUCCUGAUCCAAUAGGGGAGGAGGUUGACAAUUUGUGAAAGAAACCUAUAAAUACCUCUCCUGAUCCAACAGGGGAGGGGGUCGACAAUUUGUGAAAGAAAUUCAAAGAGUUGCGUGUGUGUGAGCAUCCGUCUGUGAACCCACACACCAUCAUCUUCCAAACCCAAAAAUGAUUUUUAUUCGAUUUUUUCUUUGUAAUAAAAAGACUGGAGUGUUACAAAAAUAAUUAUUGCCAUUCUUUGAAGACUUGUAUGAUGAAAGUAUGAAAAAUUAACAUUCUGAAACAAUCUAUCUAAUCAAUGAUUUUUUUGUUCAUUUUUAUUACUUCUAUUUUGCAAUUUGGACAUUGUCUUUUUUUAAAUAAAAUUUAAUUGUUUUCAAAAAAAAUGACAAAUUUUUAUUUUUAAUUUAUUGAAUAUUUUUGCUCUGACAAAUUUAAUUUACAGAAAAAUAAUUUUCUCGCCAACUAGCUAUAACCUAUAAGCCUAUAAGCAACAAUAUAUCAUAUAACUGAAAUGUACAAUUGUAUGUCAUUUAUAGUUUUAUACCAAUGUCAUUUAUAGUUUGACAAAAUAGCUUAAUAUUGAAGAUUACAUUAGAAACUAAUGCAAAUUUUAUAUAAAUCUAAAUAAUUAAUUACAUAAGAUAUGUUAUCACUUAUCAGCAACAAGAGAUCUCUACCAAGAAUUAAUGGACAUUUGAGAUUUGCUGUAUAUACUAACUAAACGUAUAAACUAAUAAAAUGCAUAGAUCGUUUGAAAAAUGCACUGGCUUACUUAUUCUCAGUUAACCCUUCUUCACAUUCUUUCAAAUACUUAGUAACUCGUGGAUCAAAAACUACUGCUUUCCGUAGAUACAUGGCAGCUUCAGACCUUUGGCCUUCAUUGAACAAUGUGCUGUGAAAACAAUUGCACCCCAUAGAAGAAAUAUUAUGAUCAAGUAUCAAAUAUGCGUUAUUGAUUGUGAAAUCGUAUAGUGAUACCUUCCUAGAAGAACCACUCCCUGGUAGUAACAAGCUUUAUCGGAAGGAGUGUCUGGUUCUUUAAAGUUCGAUAAUCUUUUCAAGUGUUCAAUUCCUUCGGACUUCCUUCCCUGCAAAAAGAAAUAUGUACAUGUAAGGAGAGACAUUAGAUUUAGAUACAGAUUUGAGAUACUCAGAAAUGCAAUCGAAAGAUAAUCAAAUCACAAAAGGUGGAAAUUACAACUUUAUGCAGAUGAUCAUAUAAAGUCCUACGCAAAAUCAUAUAAAUUGCAACCUAAAACUCACCUGUUGUAUCCGUGAAAGUCCUACGCAGAAUAAUGCAAGAAUCAGAAGAUUAAGCUCUUCCUCUUCCUUUAUCUGUUUGGAAUUUGAAUAAACAAAAAACAUGAAGAAUUUAGCACAUUAGGUUUUAGUGUUUUAUAUUAGAGUAUUGUUCCUGGGUUUUCUUUGUCAUGACCUUUGAGAUUGCACGUUCAAAAUAGUCAGCAGCAUCAUCUAGUGAUUUUUUUGAAAAAAGAACCUGACCCAUGGCAAUCAGAGCUCUCGUCAUAUUAGGAUCUUUCUCUGUGGACAAUCUAUAAAAAAAUAUAAUUUUUUGCAAUACUUUUGGUACAAAGAGAGGAUUGUUUAAAUAAGUUUUGAAAAAUGCCAUUGCUUACUGUAAUAAUGGAAGUGCUUUAUCAUAAUCACCAUUUGCCAUUUUUUCAAGUCCAAGCUAGAAAAGCAUUAAUCAAAGUUAAAUAUAUUGAAUUCAUAUCUAGUAUGGUUUCACCACACCAAAUCUGAGAACUGUCAAUUUUUCCCACUUAAAUGUACUCAGAGUUAACUGCUAUGACUAUGUUCAGAGUUAGUGACACUAGUGCUAAUUGCAAACAUGUCCAAAUAGAAAAAUUCACAAUAUUCAGAUUUAACUUCUAUGACCAUGUUCAGAGUUAGCGACUAAAUAUGCUCAAAGUUGCUAAUUUUUUGAAAUGACGAACAUGACCAAAUAUCAAAAUCUUCUGUUCCAACUUUAAGAUAUGGUUAACCAUACUAGAGCUUUAUUGUAUAAAUAACAUUAUAAAUUAUAAUACUAAAGGAAAUAAUGUAAACUCCAUUUUACUCACCUGAAGCAGGUGUUCAGGAGUAAGACUUUCAAUUCGAAUAGAAGAUUGCUGUUCAGAAGAUGUAUUAUCUCCAUUUACAUAAUUUGAAGAAGUUUUAAGCUUCAAAUUAGCAUUGACAACUGGCAAUCCAAGUUUGCCACGAAAGUAAGAACUUCUGAGAGAAAGUUGCUGCAAAAAUCAUUCACAUAAAUUAAGAAUGCAACUUAUCACCAAAAACAUAAAAGUAGUUUUUUUAGAUAAUUCAUAAGGUCCGACAAGAUCUAGGCAUGAAAAAAUACAUAAAACAGAAAAGGUAAAAACAAUAACUUGAUCAAUAAAAACACAACAAUUUGAAAACCAGUUGGUUGGAAUCCUUCAAACUUCCUUUUUCCAACUACAACUAUACAAGUAGCAUUACUGUUGAGACUUAAGAUAUCAUCACUACAUCUAAAGUGUAUCAUUCAAAAUAUGGUAACUUAAUAUAGUAUCAAUCAGAAGUAAAUUGGCACAAACCUGGAUGAUCUAGGCAUGAAAAAGAUACUUAUGACAGAAAAAGUGAAAACAAUAACUUGUUCGCUAAAAACACAACAAUUUAAAAACCAGUUGGAAUUCUUCUAACUUCCUUUUUCCAACAUUACUGUUGAGAUAUUAUCACCAUAUCUAAAGUGUAUCAAUCAAAAUAUGGUAGCUUAAUUUGGUAUCAAUCAGAAGUAAAUUGGCACAAACCUGGAUCAUUGUUAAUGAACUGUUAGUUACCCAGUAAACUAAACUCCCCUGCAAAGCAAGAAACCAAAUGUUGUUACAAGUUAUCAUUGUUAGUGAAAAUUGCUGUUUUCCUGAAAACAUCCCAAAUGACUAAAUAAAGAAGUUAUCAUUAUUACAAGUCUUUUUUUUUGUAAAUGAAAUCCCCCCCAUUUAUCUGAAAAACAGCUACAGCCUACAGCUAGCAACAACAUAAAACACAAAAAGAACUGUUGUGAUGCAGCCCUUAUAAGCGCUUGCAUUAAUAAUAGGCUCGAUUCUAAUCGAACCUUGGACCAAGCCCAAUAAAAUGGCUUGGACUCUCAUGGUAGACUUUCCACUCUUAAACCAUGAGAGUAUAAAUAUGAGUGGACUCUGAAGGUAGAGUUAGUUGAGUUUUAUUUUCAUCAAGAUGAUUCUCAACGUUAAUUCUUUCUUUCUUUCUUUUAUUUAUUUAUUUAUUUAUUUCUUUCUUUAUUUUCAUAGAUUCUAUAAUUCUUUCCAAUUUACAAUUAUCGAUUAUCCUUGGAUUGGGAUUAUCGCUCAAGCUUCAAUCGAUUCUCAAGGGAGCUUAAACCCUAAUCGAUCAAUACUGUUCACUGAGUUCUUUUGACACAAGUCUGGACGGAUUUCUACAAUCCGUUAAUUCUGAUUUCUAAGAACUGUUCAAGGCCUUCAUCAAGUGGUAUCAGAGUAGGAGGGAUUCGCGAUCUGCAGUGGCUAAGAACAUCAAGUUGCGAUUUGCGAUUUGCGAUUGGAGAUCUGCACACUUGCGAUUUGCGAUUUCAAGUUUUUUUUGUUUUGCGAUUUUUUUACCUGGACGGAAUUGCAUUUCGCGAUUUUGUGAGUUGCACUCAGACGGAUUUAUUUUCAGACAGAUUUGCAUUUCGCGAUUUUACGAUUUGCAUUCAGACAGAUUUUGCCAUUUGCAUUCAGAGGGAUUUAUUUCAGACGGAUGGAUUUAUUUCAGACGGAUUUGCUUUCAGACGGAUUUAUUUCAGACGUACGGAAUUAUUUCAGACGGAUUUUGCGAUUUUGAAGUAGUCCAGCACACGUGAAAAAAAAAAGAAAAAGAAAAUCCUUUGCGAUAUAUUUCAGUGAUUUGUUCUGGACGGAAUUGUGAAAACAAUAAAGGAUAACUGAUCUGUUAUGAAUCAGUUAUUCUUAAUAAGAAAUAAACUUGUAUAAAUUGAGAACAUGUAUUUGAAAAUAUAUCAUCCAGUUUGAUUCAAUCUACCAAACAUUCCAGUAUGGUAUCAGAGCAGGGUUUCUUGUAUUUGUGGGUGGAACCUUAGUAUCGUGGAUUUCUCGCAAGCAGAGUACUCUGGCCAGAUCAAGUACGGAAGCGGAAUAUCGCGCAAUCGCUGUAACUACCCAAGAAGUUGAAGCAGUGCGGUCAAUGCUAUUUGAGGUAGGAGUUUCAACACAGAAACCAAUCAAAAUACUCUCAGAUAACUUCGGUGCAACGUUUAUUUCAAAGAAUCCAAUCAGACAUUGCAAACUUAAACAUGUAGCAAUAGACCUACAGUUCGUAAGGGAGAAGACAGAAAGUGGGGAGAUUUCGGUGGAACACAUUCCCCGGACCAUCCAAUGGGCGGACGUAUUGACAAAACUUCUACCGGCAAAACAAUUUCUAAAUUUACAAACCAAGCUCGUUGGAAUAAAUCCAAGAGCUUAAGGGAGGGGGUAUAAAGGCUAACUGAUCUGUUAUGAAUCAGUUAUUCUUAAUCAUAGUUUUAAAAAGCGGAAAGCGCUCCCAAUUUCCAGGGAGCGCUUUUUUAGCUUUAACCGCUUUAGCGUCGUUUAAAGCGGUUAAAGCGGUUAAAGCUAUAUAAAGUUUAUAAUAUAGACUAAAGCGGUUAAAGCUUUAGCUGUUUAUAUAGCUAAGAUAAAUCUUUAGCUGUUUAUAAUAUAGACUAAAGCGGUUAAAGCUUUAGCUGUUUAUAUAGCUAAGAUAAAUCUUUAGCUGUUUAUAAUAUAGACUAAAGCGGUUAAAGCUUUAGCUGUUUAUAUAGCUAAGAUAAAUCUUUAGCUGUUUAUAAUUUAUAUAGCUGUAAGUUAGUGGACAGCCUGUAACUAGUUGUUACUAACAACUAGUGAAAAAAAUUAGGAGCGAUAUCGGAAGCUUUAAUUAGUGAAAAAAAGCGUUUGGCAAAGCGGUCCAAAAAAACCGCUUUGCCGCUUUAAACGCUUAAAGCGACGCUUAAGCGUCGCUUUUUAAUCACUGUUCUUAAUAAGAAAUAAACUUGUAUAAAUUGAGAACAUGUAUUUGAAAAUAAAUCAUCCAGUUUGAUUCAAUCUAUCAAACAUUCCAGUAAACAAAAUCAAGUGAUGGCCGAGAACGUCACACGAGAAGAGUUUGAGAGGUUGGCAAAAGCCCUAACCGAUUUGACAACCUUUGUUAGGGACGGUUUUCAAACAAUGCGACAGAAUUUGCAACCUAUUCAACCGCAUAGAGGAGCAGAUCCGACAGUGAAUGGACAGGCAGAACCGACAAUAAAUUUCAGAAGAAGAAACCCACCCAUAGCUAGGGAACGCUUGGAAGAACAGAUCCGUCAGGGGGGAAAUUUCAGGCAACAUGACAAUUUCAAACAGGAAGAAAAUUUCAGACGGGGAGGACUUUUUAAUAGACAGACUGAGGAAGAAUUUUCAGAGGAGGAAGAAGAUUUAUUACAGUACGAGAGAAGAAGAAAUAGGGGCCGUCGAGACUAUCCAAGAGGGGGAGCAUUACAAAGGUAUGAAGAGUACAAUGGAGGAAAUCAAAGAAAUGAAUUUGGGAAUUAUAGAUUAAGAAUGGAACUGCUUGAAUUCAAUGGGCAGUUACAUAUAGAAGAAUUUUUAGAUUGGAUUUCAGAAGUAGAAAGAUUCUUCGACUACAUGGAAAUUCCAGAUUCAAAAAAAGUGAAAUUAGUGGCACUAAAAUUUAAAAGUGGAGCUGCUGCGUGGUGGGAUCAGACCACCAUGAAUAGGGCUAGAUUCCAAAAAAGACCUAUAAAAACUUGGGACAAGUUGAAGAAAAUGCUGAAACAAAGAUUUCUUCCGGUGGAAUUUCAAACCAUUUUAUUUAUAAAAUAUCAGAAAUUCAGACAGGGACAGAGGUCAGUAGCUGAUUAUACAGAGGAGUUUCAUAGGUUGGGAGCAAGAAACAACCUUAAUGAAUCCGAAGAACAACAAAUGGUAAUGCAGCAACACAGUAGAUAGGAGAUCGGGUGAAGAAGAGAGACAGAUCUUCUUCACAUAGGUAACUUAACUAGAAGGAUGUAGUAUCAAGAUCGAUAAGCAAGUAGAGAGAGUAGAUCUAGAAUAGCCAAAAGUAGAAAAGAAGAAGAAGUAAUAAUAGAGAGGAGAGAAAUACCUUUAGUUGCACAAUAAUCAAAACUGAUUUCCUGCCAGCUGGUCCAUUGUAUUUAUACUCACACUAAUGGUAAUGGACAGUCCAUUUAGUGUGAGUGUAGACCUCUUAAUGAGAGGAAUGGUUGGUCUGACCUUGGUCAGACCCUUGAUGGACUAGAUUAGGAGAUCCAUCCCUACUGGACUUAUUCUUAGAGUUAGGAUCACUUAUAAGCUCUACAUUAUCCGUCCCUCCUUUAGGAUCAAUUGUCCCCAAUUGAAUCAGAGAAUUUGCUUGAGGGAAGUACUUUCUUAUGUCCGAAAUGUUGAAACUGUUUGAUAUGUUGUAGGAGCUUGGCAAGUCUACUAUGUAGGCAUUGUCAUUGAUUUUCUUCAAGAUCUUGAAAGGCCCAUAAUUUCUUGCUUUUAAUUUAGAAUAAGUUCCUGUUGAAAACCUUUCUUUGCUAAUAUGUACCAUUACCAGUUCCCCUACUAAGAAUUCCUGCUUCCUCCUUUUUUUAUCUGCCUCAGCCUUGUACUUCUCAUUAGCUUCUUUCAAAGCUUUCUCCACUGCUUUGUACACUUCCUGAUUUUUCUCUAUUAAAUUCUCCACAGUUUGCUGAUUUGAAGGGACGUCAUUUAUGUCAAUAGCCUGCUUUGGUUGAUGCCCAUAGGCUGCCAUAAAAGGACUCAUUCCUGUUGAUCUGUUUAUCAUGUUGUUAAAUGCGAAUUCUGCCUGAGGAAUACAUAGGUCCCAUUUUUUUAAAUUCUGUCCCACCAAUGUUCUAAGUAAGUUGCCCACAGAUCUGUUUACAACUUCUGUCUGCCCAUCAGAUUGAGGGUGGCAUGUUGUGCUGAAAUUCAGUUUGGUUCCAUAUCUUUCCCACAAUGUUUUCCAAAAGUGGGAUAGAAACUUUGUGUCCCUAUCAGAAACUAUAGAUCUUGGAACACCAUGUAGUCUGACUAUUUCCUUAAAAAAUAUCUGUGCUGUGUGUUCUGCAUCAUUGGACUUCUUACAUGGCAAGAAGUGAGCCAUUUUGGAAAACCUAUCCACUAUCACAAAAAUUGAAUCUAAACCAGCUUUAGUCUUGGGUAAUCCUAGGAUAAAAUCCAUUGAUAAAUCUACCCAAGGUUCUUUUGGGACUGGUAGAGGCAUAUACAACCCUGUAUUUUGUUUAGUCCCCUUGGACUCCUGACAUAUUUGACAGCUCUGAAUAUACUUUUCUGUUUGCUCUCUUAGCUUGGGCCAAUGAAAUCUUUUUUUUAAAUCAGCUACCACUUUAUCCCUUCCCAAAUGACCAGCUAACCCUCUAGAGUGUAGAGUGUAAAACAGUUGUUCUCUUAGUGGGUCUUUGGGUAUACAUAAUCUGUUUUUGUACAUGAGAUAGCCUUCUUGUAUGUUGAAAUUUUGAAAACUCUGUCCAUUCUGGCAGGCUGCCCAACUACUGCUGAAAUCCUCAUCUUUUGCAUACAAUUCCUUGAUUCUUUCAAAUUCAGUCACUUCAACCCUCAAUAUUGUUAAUAGUGUGCUUUUCCUACUUAGGGCAUCAGCCACCCUAUUAGUGAUUCCUGGUUUAUGUUUCAAUGUAAAAUGAAACCUUUGCAAAUAGGAUAUCCACCUAGCAUGCAUCCUAUUUGUGUUUUUUGAGCUAUUGACCUGUUUUAGGGCCAUGUGGUCAGUCUGAAUUACAAAUUCAUUUUGUAAUAAAUAGGGUUCCCAGACCUUGCAUGCUCUUACUACUGCAUAUAACUUUUGUUCAUAUGUGGUCCAGUUUCUUCUUCCCAAGCUUAAUUUUUCACUAUGAAAUGCUAUGGGGUGAUCAUCUUGACUUAGAACUGCCCCUACUCCCAUAAUGCUUGCAUCACACUCAAUCUGGAAUAUUUUACUGAAAUCUGGAAGAGCAAGUACUGGUGCUUUUUGCAGCUUAUUUUUCAACGUCUUAAAUGCUUUUUCUGCCUCAACUGUCCAACUAAAUUUACCUUUCUUUAGACAGUCAGUAAUGGGGGCUGCAAUGGUACUGAAAUUCCUUAUAAACCUUCUGUAGAAGGAGGCAAGACCAAGAAAACUUCUUAUCUCUGUAAGGUUUGAAGGUGUCAUCCAAUCAUUUAAUGCCUCAGUCUUUUUUUGAUCCACUUUUAGGCCCUGAUGGCCUCUUAUAUAGCCAAGAAAUGGUAGCUCAUGGACCAUGAACUCACAUUUUUCCAAAUUCAACUUCAAAUUGUUUGUUUCCAGCAAUUGUAACACUUUUUCAAUAUGUUUCAGAUGUUCCUCUUUUUUCUUGCUAAAUAUGAGCAUGUCAUCAAAGUAGACAACAACACACUCAUUGAUGAGAGGCUUUAGAACUUCAGACAUUAGCCUCAUAAAUGUAGAAGGGGCAUUAGACAUGCCAAAAGGCAUGACUAACCACUCAUAUAACCCCUUGCUUGUCUUGAAUGCUGUUUUCCACUCAUCCCCCUCCCUAAUUCUGAUCUGAUGGUACCCACUUUUCAGGUCCAUCUUAGUGAAAUAUUCAGCUCCUGUUAACACAUCUAAAAGUUCCUCUAGCCUUGGGAUAGGAAAUCUGUAUUUGAUAGAAAUUUUGUUGAUAGCUCUACUAUCAACACACAUUCUCCAAUCACCAUUUUUUUUUGGCACCAGCAAAGCAGGAACAGCACAUGGGUUUAUUGAUUUUCUGAUCAGUCCCUCUUGUAGUAAUUUCUCCACCUGUGUUUGCAGAAUUUCUGUUUCAGCAGGGCUAAGUUUGUAAUGUGGUAAAUUAGGAAGUGUUGCCCCCGGGAUUAGAUCAAUUCUGUGGUUGAUGCUUCUGUGAGCAGGUAAUUUUUUUUCAUUUUCUUUAGUCACACUAGAAAAUAUUUUCAGGAGGUCUUUUAUUACUGUUGGAAUGCAGACUUUCUUUUUUGUUUGUACCUCUUUUACCAAAACUGCCAACCCUUCCCCUUGAAUUCCCAAGGAUUUUUUGAAUUCUUUUUGUGACUCUACCAACAGAUUUGGUUUGUCACCUUGUUUUGUUUCAUUUUCAGAUAUUGGUAGUAAUGCUACCCUCAUGUCAUCUACCUUUAUGAUGUAUUGGUUUGUUCUUCCAAUGUGGUUCCCAUAUACAUCAUAUUGCCAAGGCCUCCCUAGCAAUAGAUGGGCAGCAUCUAUGUUUACUAUAUCACAUAUGACUUCCCCUUUGUACCUUCUUCCUAUAGAUAAAGACACUGUACAACACUUGUUCACACUAACAUUGUCUCCACUUUGUAUCCAUGAUACGCUGUAAGGCUUUGGGUGGUCUUCUACAUGGAGUCCCAAUCUUUUAACUGCUUUCCAUGAUAUCAGAUUAUCCGUACUGCCAUUGUCUAUGAUUAUGUCACAAACUAUUCCUUUCACAGUCCCUCUUGUUCUGAACAGGUUGUUUCUUUGUGACCCAACCUUUGUGUGUGGUACAUGGCAACUUCUGUGAACCAAUUCAGACAUUCUAGGGCCUUCAUCCGGUGGACAUUCAUCUUCAAAUUGAAAUUCAGAGUCUUCUUCAUCUAUAUCCAUAGGUUCUUUUCCUUUACUGUCCAGUAAAUGAGUUCCCGCUCUCUUGGGACAAGUGUUGGACUUGUGUCCCCACUCAUUGCAUCUGUAGCAUUUAAUAUUUGCUAGUCUUUGAUCUGCAGGUCUAUAUCCUUUAUUUUCUGUCCCAAAUUCAGUAGAUAUCCUUCUGUCCUCAGGUGUGGGUAGGAUUCCCUUAUCACUAGGUUGCACCAUUCUGCUUGAUGAAGAUCCAACUGUGAAUUUACUGAGUUUCUCAGCCCUCUGAUCCAACUGAUCAGCUACUCUAAUAGUUUCCAUUAGGGUGUAUUGAGGUUGCAAAAUAAAUUUCUCUUGAAAUUUGCCUUUGAGACCUUGAACAAAUCUUGCAAUUAGUUGUUCUUCAGUCUCACUGAGGUUGUUUCUAGCUGACAACCUAUGAAAUUCUUUAGCAUAUUCAGCAACACUUCUAUUACCUUGACAGCACUGGUGAUACUGUGUGUACAGAAUUCCUUCAAAGUCACUUGGUAGGAACCUUUGCUUGAGUAGUCUCUUAAGUUUAUCCCAACUUUGGACUGGUCUUUGUUGGAAUUUCCUUCUAUUUUGCACUGUCUGGUCCCACCAUGCUGAAGCUAACCCCUUAAACCUCAACACUACCAACUUAACUUGUUGGUCUUCGUCGAUGUCCAUAUAAUCAAAAAAAUGUUCUACUUCCGCUAUCCACUCAAGGAAUUCUUCGAUAUGAAGAGUUCCACUAAAUGUAGGGAUAUCCAACCUCAAUUUGUAUUGACCUCUGCUAUAGCCUUUUUGUUGACCCUCACAAAAAUCAUUUUCAUCGGACAAUUCCCUUCUAUUUCUUUGGUAUCUCUGUCUUCUUUGAUAUACAGCAUUCUGUGGAGCUUCUCCAAAGUCCAAGUCCUCUUCUAACAUAUCCUCGAACUGGUCUAGGGCUCCCCCCAGUCGGCGUUGAUAUGUGACAGUGGGAUUCUCGGCCGGCCGGCGACAGUAGACUUGAUGCUCCCUUUCCGGCGAACGUCGUUCCUGUCUCUGGGGAACUAUUUGUUCUCGAGGUUGCCUCUGAUAGGUCUGAAAUGGCACCUCUGGAGCUCUCCUCUGAUAAACCACUGGAACUCUGUUAGAUACCUCUGGCUGCUGUGGAUCUGGUGGCUCCGGUGAUUGUAUUGCCCUUCGCAGGUCCGCAAACCCCUCCUGCAUUGCGGUUGUCAGAUCCGCAAUGGCUUUUUGAGUGGCCUCCCACUCCUGUCGACUCACAUUGUUGUCUGCCAUGUUGCUUGCUACAAAAAAAAAUACUGAAAUCUACCGUCCACGCGAGGCUCUGAUACCACAUAAUGCAGCAACACAGUAGAUAGGAGAUCGGGUGAAGAAGAGAGACAGAUCUUCUUCACAUAGGUAACUUAACUAGAAGGAUGUAGUAUCAAGAUCGAUAAGCAAGUAGAGAGAGUAGAUCUAGAAUAGCCAAAAGUAGAAAAGAAGAAGAAGUAAUAAUAGAGAGGAGAGAAAUACCUUUAGUUGCACAAUAAUCAAAACUGAUCUCCUACCAGCUGGUCCAUUGUAUUUAUACUCAUACUAAUGGUAAUGGACAGUCCAUUUAGUGUGAGUGUAGACCUCUUAAUGAAAGGAAUAGUUGGUCUGACCUUGGUCAGACCCUUGAUGGACUAGAUUAGGAAAUUCAUCCCUACUAGACUUAUUCUUAGAAUUAGGAUCACUUAUAAGCUCUACAUUAAAUGGCGAGAUACAUUGGGGGAUUAAAAUCAGCACUUCAAGAAAAAGUCAUUUUACAGUCCCCAAUGUCACUUAUGAAGACUGUAAACAUCUCCGAACAACUAGAGAGACAAACAAACAAGUACUCAUCAUUUUCACCUGGAGCUUCAACUAGUAAACCUAUCUAUUCCAAGGACAAAGGAAUUCUGCCAACACCUGAAGGGAAAAAUACAGAUCUGAAUGAAAAAAAAUCAGGGGUCUCAGACCAAGUUUGGAGCACAAUAAGAUGUUAUAAAUACCAAGAAAUGGGCCACAAAGCUAAUAACUGCCCUAGGAGGGGAUCUGUAAAAUUCUGUGAAGGGUUGAGAGAGAAUGAAGAUAGCAUUAAUUCAGAUGAGUCCAGUGAGGCCGCAGAAGAGUAUGACCCCGAUGAAGGAUCAAGUCUAUCUUGCUUGAUCCAUAGAUCCUUUCACACUCCUAAAAUUUCUGACCAGAUUCAAAGGGCAAAUUUAUUUCGCACCAAAGGAACAGUUAAAGGGAAAGUUUGUCAGAUAAUAAUAGACAAUGGGAAUACGGACAACCUAAUAUCUGAGAAGGCAGCAAAAAAGUUAGAACUCAACCUUGAGGAACACCCUAAACCUUAUACAAUAGGAUGUAUCAAAAAUAGUGAGGGAGCAAAAAAUAGAUAUUUGUGCAAAGUCCCACUAUCCAUUGGCAAGAGGUACAACGAUACAGUAGUAUGUGAUGUAGUUGAUAUGGAUGCAACACACAUACUUUUGGGCAGACCGUGGCAAUAUGAUGUAAAUGUCACUCACCAUGGGAAAUUAAACACCCAUAUUUUUCAAGCUGAUGGUAGGAAGAUUGCCCUAUUACCACUUCCUCUUGAGUCGACUUGCAAAAAGGCUAAACACAAAUUUUCUACUACAACAGAGGUCUGAUUUUUCUGAAGAACAGAGAAAUGAAGAUAUGGGGUUAGCUCUAGUAAUAAAAAGUCUGGAAAAAGAAGAGGUUGAGUAAAAAGAACUACCUAAGGAAGUACAACAAAUUCUGAAGGAGUUUCCACUUAUCUCCUUAAAUAAUUCAGUAGUAUCACUACCACUUGAGAGAGAAAUUGACCACAGAAUAGACUUGAUUCCGGGAGCAUCUCUACCUAACCUGCCCCACUACAGAUUAGGACCUAAAGAGGCUGAAAUUCUUCAGAAUCAAGUCGAACAACUACUAGUAGACGGUCUGAUCAGAACGAGUUUAAGUCCUUGUGCCGUACCUGCACUCUUAGUCCCAAAGAAAAAUGGAGAGUGGAGGAUGUGUGUGGACAGCAGGGCGAUAAACAAAAUCACGGUGAAGUACAGAUUUCCUAUUCCAAGACUGAAUGAGCUGUUGGAAGCCUUGGCCGGAGCUAAAAUUUUUUCUAAAAUGGACCUAAAGAGUGGCUACCACAAAAUCAGAGUUAGAGAAGGGGAUCAAUGGAAAACGGCUUUUAAAACCAGGCAAGGAUUGUAUGAACGGAUGGUGAUGCCAUUUGGAUUGUCUAAUGCACCAUCAACUUUCAUGAGAUUGAUGACUGAGGUACUGAAACCAUUGUUGGGAAACUGCAUCGUGGUAUAUUUUGAUGACAUCUUAGUAUUUAGCAAAAGCAAAGAAGCCCACAUUAAAGAUGUAAAAUCAGUUUUCGGAUUAUUAGAGAAAAAUCAGCUAAAAUUAAAUCUGAAAAAGUGCGAAUUUUUUACGGAGGAACUGUGUUUUCUAACCACCUCUAAAAUUCUCAAUACAGAUGGAAUUCAAACCACCUCUAGGGUUCUAUUAGAGAAGAAUAGUGUUAGAUACUUUAAAACUUUGUUCAGUAAUCCAACCACCCAACGGUCGGCGGUUCCUGUCAUUUUUCUUAGAGUGGUUUCUGAAACUAUGAAUAGGUGGUUGCUUCAGGCUCCGUUAGAGGAAGAGGUAAGGGUCACACUGUUCUCCUUUAAUUCGGGGAAAUUCCCUGGGCCGGAUGGUUUCACCUCUGAAUUUUUCAAAAAAAAUUGGAGAGAUCUUAAAGGCCUAGUAAUGGAGUGUGUAAGGCAAUUCUUCAAAGGCAAACCUUUGUUGAAGUCUGCUAACCAUACUUUCAUCACGCUUGUGCCCAAAACAAACACGGCCUAAGAUGUGUCGGAUUUCAGGCCGAUAUCAUGUGUCAAUUUGAUCUACAAGCUAAUGACAAAAAUAUUGGCAGAUAGGAUCAGUAAGGUCUCUAGUGAACUCAUCUCUCCAAACCAAGCAGCUUUCAUUCAAGGAAGGCUUAUCUCGGAUAAUACCAUAGUUCAAAAAGCGGAAAAGCGGUCAGCUUUUCCAUUGACCGCUUUUUCAGCUUUGAGCGCUUUAGCGCGCUUAAAGCUGAAAAAGCGGUAGUGGCAUUAUUGUAAAUAAUGCUAAUUUUUUAAAAAAUAUAUAUAAAAUAUAUAUAAACCUGUAAUUAUUCAAGACAUCAUCCAAAUUAUUUGAAAAACAUUUACAAGUCAUAUAACCUAAUCAUCUAGACGUGCAACAAUAUCUAUAUUAUCUCUUAAAAUUUCUUCCAUUUCAUUCGUGCAAUGAUGAAAUUGGGAUUCAGUUCCCAUAUCUCUAGGGUUUUGGAAGAAAUAGAAGUGAGAGUGAUAAAGGAAAUUAGGGUUUUAUUAGAAGGGUAUUGGGUUUAUAUAGUUAGAUAGAAAUUGGAGGGGUAGGAAGGGAAAUUAAAAUAGUUUAAGUUAUUUUACAUGGGUAAUGGGUUGCCCCAACCCAAUAACCCAACCCGACCCGACCCGAUAACCCAACUAAAAAAAGCGUUUUACAAAGCGGUCCUGGAGGACCGCUUUGACGCUUUAAGCUAAAAAAGCGACGCUUAAAGCGUCGCUUUUUGAACUAUGAUAUAUAUAACUAUAUAUGACCCUAUAAUAUGUUUUAUUAAUGUUUAGUCCAUUAGUUAACUGUAUUGUAUUGUGUUAUGUUAGUGGUAAUCAUGUCUUAUUUAGUGGGGUUAGUGAACCUUGAGGAGUUAUUGUAUGAGUUGGGUUCUCUAAGUUAUUUCUUAAUUUUCUUGUUUAUUUUCUUUAAGUUCUAGUCAGAUUCUCUUCUUUUGAUCUUUCGAGAAUCUCGGUUGUAUCAGUUACACUAUGUGCACCUCUAUUUGGCCAAAGUUUCAUUACUAUUUAAACUACUGAUUUAUAAAUUGUUCUUCUUCCUCAUGGAUUCUAUCACAUCUCUCCACACAUGCCACAGUGCCAUCUCUAAGAUCAGCAAAAGCAGGUCCCAAAAUGCUAUUUUCCAGUUUCCUGUGCAAAAUAGUUGGAUUAAGACACUAUUUUCCCAACUUUCCUAGAUUAUUGGCAUUUGGAGAAGAGAUGAUCAAGACUCGCACUUUCUCUUCUGCAUAGCAAACACUAUACUUCCUCCUCAUCUUUCUAUCUGCUGGUGUGGUACCUGGUUGGGGGCUUUCCCUAUCUCUCCAUAAAAAGUGAAUACUACUUGUGCGUCACACUGGCCAAUAAACGUCAGGCAUAUCUGUUUAAUAGGUGUUUUCCCUGAUACGACCUCAAAUGGUCCAACCGUCCAAUACCAAUCUAAGUUGGUAUCCUGACAAUCCUGUACAUGUCUUUAUUUAUAUUGUGAUCCAAUCAUAAACAUCAACAGUUUAUUAUGGGAUCAUUUCAUUAAUAACCUAACUACUAUAUAGCUGAGGCAUAUUUAUUGUAAGAUAUAUCACAACCGAAAUAGGCAUUUCUUUUAGCCGGACCACGUUAAAGUCUCAUGUCUCCUUUCAUAAUAUUGCUUGCUUGAUUAAUUUUUCGUAGAUCUAAAUUAUAAGCUAGAUCGGAUUUUACAGUUGCGUUGAAUUACAGAUUGAUCUCCAUCAAUCUGUUUGUUGAAGCAUAAUCAGAUUUGAAUAUCUGAACAGAAAAGGUAUUCUAGGUUAACAAAGAUACCGAUAUCAAAAAUCAAAAUCAUCAUGACCAAAUUUCCAAUUUACUAGUUUCAUAGAUACGAAAAAAUAAUACCUGAGGAAUAUUAAAUGCAAUCACGAGCAAGGGAAGUGAUAAAAUAUCCAAAUAGAACUUGUAGUACUGCCAGAAAAAGAUGCAACUAGUCACUCUUCUGUAAUCAACAAUUUAAAUAUAUGAACUACGUAUCAGAAUAUAGUUUAUAAUUUGUAGAAAAGAAAUUACAUGAAGGAAAAUACAUACAACUACGACAUGCGUAUGUCAUGUAUGUAUAUACAAGUAAUACAACUGGGUGUGUCAUGUACUCAUGUGUGUAUGACUUUUAACCGGUGAAAUAAAAUAUGGACAUCGACUUACUUUAGCAAAUACACCAAUUAAACCAGGCAUGUCAGAAGCUUUAAAAUUCCUGAAUGAAAUCUGAAAACACUCAAAACAGUUAAUAGCAUCACCGACUCGAUUUUUUGGUAAAAAUGGAUAUAUUAAAAAAAAAUUGUAACUUAUAAUCUCUUAAAAUGGUUGAAAGAUAUUAAUGAAGUAUUAAAGCCUACAAGCUCUUAAAAUGGUUGGGUGAUUUAGCAAUAAAUCAAUAAUAACCCCACCAUUCAAGUAUGUAAAGUAAAUUAUGGUCUAGCCACCUUUUUUUCCUUUGUGCAUGAUUUUGACAGGUCAUUCAAACUUUCAAAGAACAAACCAUAUAUUGCAUGCAUCAAUAAUUCAAUAUUAAGCAACCCACAUCCAUGAUUUACUUGGCAGAAACAAUUCUUCACGUAACAAGGAAUACUUGUACAGAAGUAAGUAUUUAACUUCACAUGAUUUAUAUAACUGCUUAGAUAUUUAUCAUAAAUUACGGAAUUUCUUUCAUAUUUAUCAUAACAGAUGAUAUCUCUAAAUAUUUAAUAUAUGAAUCCAACGUGUCAUUAGCUUCCCAAAAUAAAGGAAUAAGAGGGAAGUAUUCACAAAUACCUGAAUAUUCACAAAAUGCAAACCAGCAAUCAAUACAGGGAAAAUGGGACCACAAGCACCAUGAGAAAAAUCGGUUAAAUUAUGAAACCACAAAGCACCACCCUGAAAGUAAAUAAAUAUUACAUAUAUUUUUUAUUAUUGUCCAAUUUUAUCUAAGAGACCAAAAUAUAAAAGGAACUCGACCACAAAAAUGACUGUCCAACACUCCAACCCUAGUUUAGAGAGCGAUCUUGAAAUUGAUAGAAUAGAAUAUAAGAUCGGAAUCCAUGUGGAAGAGGGAGGAAAUACCUGAAAAUAAGUAAUCCUGUCAUUCAAACUCUUUAUUAUACUCACAUUUCAAACAAGUGGUAGUUGAAGACAUGAGUGGGAAAUUUUGUUAAUUGAGGACACGAUACCCUUCUUUGAUCAUUUGCCCAUCUGAUUUUUCCAUGAUUUAAGCAACUCCUUAGUGGGAACUGAGAAAUUUGAACUAGAACUAAAUCUCACACAAUUAAAAAGAGAUUAGAUGACGUAGUUAAUGGUUUUAAAGAUAAUGAACAUUAGGCUCAUUAACUAAAUCCUUAUUGAACUCGAUUCCUUGUUCUCCACUAGCUUGGAAUCGAGUAUAAAAGGAUAAUGAACACUCUGAGGACGACAAAUUAUUUUGAUAAACAUUUUCCCAAGGUAUUUCUUCUUCUUGAUAUCUCUCUCUUAUUCUUAUUCUAUUCUCGUUAUUCACUGGUGGAUCCAGUACACUUAUGCAUCGAUUGAUCUUCAUUGGAUCAAUUCAUUCAAUUGAUUAUUAAAGUAUUGAGUCACAUCAUUAGAAGAAAUUUAAGACAUGGAGAUUUAUAUGGUUCGGUCAUCGAUAAGAUUAAACCUGGAUCUGCCCAAUAAUUAGGGCAGGGCAUGAGGUUUGACCGACCUAAACCCAUCCUAACCAGAAAGCUGAAUUAAUAGUUUUCCUCCAGUAGGCUAGCGUUUACUCUUAAAUUUACAAUUUCUGCCUAACAUCUAUGACAUGAUCUGGUCAUUGAUCCCUGAUACAAACUAAUACAAAAAUUGAUACAAACUAAAAUCAUGAAAGAGUAAGGUUUCACAUAGUCUUACACUAUCAAACCCUGGAUGACCAUCCAAACACAUUCUUCGAACGCUUGUCAUCCAUAUCAAGAAACAUGGAAACUGUAAAAAAAUAUAAUCAUUUACCACAUAUCAAAAGGUUGUGCAUCAAGACUUCAAGAAUGCUGAAUAGAAAAGUGCAUGUAUAUGUUCUAAAUAAAAAAUUUAAAUAACAAUCAAGCUGUCAAUAUUAAAUGACCAAUUUAAUAGAAAGGAAUCAAAGAAUAGAUUUCAAGAAAAUAGGAUGGCUUCUGGAGCUUGGAAAUAGAGCUGGCCAGCGCUAUAUAGAGGUGAAAUCGCAAAAUCUGGAAGAGAUAUUGCAAUUCCAGACCUAUAGGUUUUUAAAACUUAAUGUUUUAAACUGGGUACCAGGACGAAUCCUUGCCCAAAUCCGCCCAGAAACCUGGUUGAAAUUAGAAAUAGCACCAGUAGAUGGCGCUUUUAGUGUGCUAUAGCACACGCUACUUAAACAAUGAUCAUAAGAGCUGUUAGAAUGUGGAGACGUUUUUUGGAAGGGCAUUAAUUAUAAUUAGAAUUAAUGUAGGCCUUUUACGAGCCAUUAGAAUUAAAUAAGUUUAAUUCUGUUAAAUGGGCUUUAAGCCUUGUAAUGGGUAUUAGGGUUGCAAACACAAAACGACAACCCUAAUCUCCCAUAUAAGUAUCUUAUAAUGACUUGUACUCUUGGUGAGAGAAAAAGAAGAAGAACGGAGGCACCACCGUGGACGUAGGCACAUUGCUGAACCACGUAAAUUCUGUGUGUUUUUUGCUCGGUUUUCUCAGUUCGAUUUAGGCAUCGAUCCUAUCAAGAGCUUCUUAUGUUAAGACAGCCUCUGAAUGAAUCUAUUCUCAUUAAGUAGGCAUAAAAGAGAUAUAUUAGAAACAGAAUAAACCAAGCAUUGGCUCCAUAUUUUGGAAAUCCUUGAUGCCUGCAAAGGAAGAUAUAAACUCGUGGUUGAGGUGUAGAGAGCAAACUACAAUAUCGCAUGAAAGAUGGGCUCUCCAUUAAGGAACCUAGGGUCCAUAGAAGAAGCACUUGGAGUAAGAAGCCGCUAGGACCCACUAGCUGAGGGUAUGUGGUCUUACAUGCCAACUAAAUUCUCCAUAAUAUUAUGGAGAAUUAAAUGGAAACACCUAAAUACUUUCCAAAGACUUAGGGAAUGAGGAAUAUAGACACAAAUAACCAGACUACUAUGCAACAACCAGGAUGAGACUAAAGCCCACCUCUUUUUCAACUGCCCAUACUCAAGAACUGUCUUCAUUGCAAUAGCAAAACCCCUAAAAAAUUCAUUUUGGAAAGUAGCAAACUCACCUACUCCCACCCAGACUUGGUCUGACAUCAAAAUGGAGGAUCUCAUUGAAGCUUACCAGAAAUUCGCCUAUAAAUCCCCAAGUUGGAGCCUGCUUUGGAGCUCAAUAGAAUGUAUUGCUUCAUAGUUCAUACAAUCACACCUCUGUUCCAAAAGGAACAGGAGGCUCAAGAAGCACAUCUUCAGACAUCCAGAAAUUCUAACCAUGGCAAUUAUUCAGGACAUCAGUGAUCAGUCUCUCCUUUAAAUAAGAAGAUUUUGAGAAGGCUUGUUGUUCCCAAUUGGAGAUGUUAUAUAUGAAAGUGUAACUGUCGAUGGGUCUUUAACAGUUAUCUCCAUUUUGUAUUAAGGGGAUUGUCUUUUAUUUUAUAAUGAAAAAAUUAUUUUUAUAAAAAAAUAUCCUUGGCAAAAAAUAAACUCCUUGCAUUCAAGGUAGUGAUGAAAAGGUAAAAGUGUAAAACCCAUUGGUAACAUACCAGAGCUUAUUAGUUAUCACCAGGUACAUUCGAAAUAAAGAAGUAUCUAGCAAGAGUGAACUCAUAACCUCAUGCAUGUAAACUUAUAAUUUCUUUAAAAAAACUUGAACUAUCCUUUGCUUUAAAAAAAAUCUUGAACUAUCCUUUACUUUCAAAAAAAAACUUGAACUAUCCCCUUUGAAGGAAACGACACAACUUACUACUACUUUCGAUGACCAUAAAGAGAAAAUUGGAAAUAUUAAAAUCAACAGAAUAAUAAUAAUACCUAACGUGGAGUCGUGGGAUAAUAGAAAUAUUAAAAUGGGAAAGGUGCACAAAUUUAAUACCUGGACAGAAAAAAAUGCAAAGCUCCACAAAUAAGAAGGACAACGAAGCUCUCUUCUUUUCCUUCUAUGGAGUGUAAAUUGUUCACGGAAAGUAAUUCCUGAUGAAGGUGGUGGGAAAGGAGGGGGCACUUUGAAAAAUAGUGUGAGUUAGAUUUUGAUUAAAAAUAAUUUACCGAGGAGAAAGGACAAAUGUAUCUAUCUCUUGAAAUUUGAAAACAUCAAACAUAAACUAAGGUAACAUUUUGAAUAUUACAAAUUCCUACUUAUAAAACAAGACUGUAGUCUCUAUAUUUUAUUUCAAAUUGGAUGGACAAUGUGUAUUUUUAACAAAGGGAUCCGCAACAGAUGCCAUAUAACUAUUUAGGCAAUUUUACGGGUUGAGGGAAGGAUAGAUAGCUACCAUGUAAAUUGGGUCAGAUCCGUAUCUCUUUUUUUAUAAAAGGUAGAUUUUCAUUAGAAAUAGUGACUCAAUCCUUUCCUCUUGGAUAAGGGGGAGAUACAUUAAGGGACGGGGACUGAAUAAAUUUUACAUCAAUCCUCUUGGGUAAGGGGGAGAUACAUUCCUCGCCUAGAAGAGACACCAUCAUGUGGAAAUCAAUCCUUAAGUAUAAGGAUGAGGUAUGGAAGUUGACGGAUUUUGGCCAUAAUUACAUUCUUAACCUUACUGAACUAAAACAAGGGAGUUGUUUCCAAAAAAUUUGUAAAGCAAUAGCCCCUCCUAGACAGCUUGACCCCCUGGCCAGUGGAAUUUGGACCAGAAAACCUACUAAAUUAUUUUAAUUCAUAUGGAGACUGAAGUGGGAAUUUGUGCCAUCUUUCUACGUCUUAGGAGGCUGAAGGAUUCCUGUCUCACCUCUUUGUGUACUCUGCGAUGAGGAGUCUGAGACUAUUAGUCAUUUAUUCUUUAACUACCCAUACUCCAGACACACUCUUAUAUACUGUUCUGACAUAACUAAUCAUAAUCAUAUUAUAUGGAGAUAUAACAAUUUGCAGGUACCUCGUGAAGAUGAUAUCAGAUUGGAGGAGAUAAUUGAUAGCAUCCAAUCCCUAAGGAAAGGCUCCAAUUGCUGGAGGCUUCUCUAGACUGUGCUUGAAGACUUGGAGAAGUUACUUGGCAGUUGUGGCAGGAAAGGAAUAAAAGGUGGAGAACUAGAGUUUUCAGACCUGUGAAAGUGGUAGUUAUGGAGAUUCUCAAGAACUGUAAAAUAUGUUUUGAUGUGAAGGCUAACCUUCUAAACAUAGGAAUUGUGGAAACCUCAACUAUUUCACCAUGGUUGAGCCAAUAUGUGUUGUUUCUGCUCUUAGAGGACUUUGUCCACCACUGAGCGAUGCUAGUCUGUUAAUGGGAUUUGCAUUUCUAUCUUUGUUUAUAUUGAAAAACUGGGCAAGGCCAACUUCAUUUCUAAUGAAAUUUUAUCUUCAUAAAAAAAAUACUGGAAAACCUUUUUGCACGGGUAAAUUUUGUUUUUUCAUUAAAGAAACAAGUAGACAACUAAGGUUAACAAUAAGUAAUUAAAUUACAACUAAGCUCUAGCCUCUAUGGCUACUUAUAUUACUCCAUAGCUAUAUAUCAGUAAUAUCACUAAGAAACUAAGGAGUACUUCCAUGGAAUUAAAGGGAUGAUUUCUUUAUAAUUCAGUUGCUCUUUAAUCAUUCUAGAGUUAACAUUACCGAACAAAAUUAACUAAUAUUUAUUAAUGGAUAGGAUUACUAAAAUCGCAAGGACCAAGCCACAAUUGGUCCCUUGAUACACAUAUAUAUACUGAUACAUACACAUAACACAUGUAAUAGAAAGGGUUCAUUGUUAUUAUCUAAUCCUUGCUUAUGAGCAUCUCUUACCUUUUUUCUUCCUCCCACUAUCUAAAUCUCUCUCUAUCCUUCCGGUUAUCAUAUAUUACAUUUAUCAUUGCCUAAUUUACAAACUUGAUAGAAUUUUGUUCAAUGAUACCGAGAUUAAUGUUUGACUUUGUAAGGGUGGAUUGGUAUGGUCCAAGUGCUAUCAUAAUUAUCAAUGACAAAAAUACAAUAAAAAUGAACCGAUAACAUAAUGCUCACAUUUAGGGAAAAACUCCGAAAGUCUUCCCAUCUUCUUCAAUUGCAAAAUGAGGACGGGCAUUAGAACAACCCGGAGGGCCAGAGUAGACGUGGCUAUCACAAUCCACCUGCAAACCAUUCAAUCAAACAAACAAAAACAUCAUUGCACAUCUGAAUUCUGAACGGUAAUAAAUAAUUACUAUUUCCCCGAGUACAACUCUCACUCUCUCGAUCUCUCAAAAAUAUAUUGAUAAACUAAAUCAUACAGAAACAUGUGUAGUAACAAAUUUCAAGUGCUCACCACGGAAGACCAGUGACAUCAUGACAUCCAUCGAGAGCUGAAAUUAAUCCGCGAACAGGAGCAUAAAAAAAUUUAUCGUCCAUAACAGAAAUCACGUCACCAUCCGCUCCAAGAUCAGGAACACCAACGAAUAAUCCAUCUCCUUCGAGAUGAACUUCGCCACUCUUGUCCAAUUGGGAAUCGUGCGAUGACGCGCCCCACGAGAACGUCCGGAAUGGAAUUCCAAUGUAGGGGGAGGAGGAGAAAUAAGAAGGAUUAUAAAUAGUGGAAGGGGUUACAUUGAUGUUAGAGAGAGUGAAUCGAGGAUAGAAUCGACCGUGGAAGAGAUUGCACCGGAGACGCCGGGCGGCGAGGAUGACCGCAACAGACAUCUAGCGGGGACAAGGAAGUGAAUUAAAAAUUCCACACAUACCGCAAUCGAUUAUAUAUUUCUGCAAAUUAACUCACUCGAAAGGUUAUUUCUGCAAAACAUACUAUUUUUAUUUUUAAUUAACAAAAUUAUCCUUCUAAUUUAUAAAAUAUAUGCAAUUAUCUUAAUAGUAUUAAGUACAUGUUUUUUUAUAAGUUAUAUAUAAGUAAAUAAAAAUAAAAAUAUAUAUAAUACGACUUGAACCCUAAACCUUUAAGGUAGCCGUGUGACAGUUGCCAACUAUGUUAAUGUUUAAGUACAUGGAUUUUAAUGCCAAGCUCUGAAUCACCAAACUAGACUUCUAGAGAAGCGAGUGCAAGCAAUCUUCAGAGAUCUUCUCUACCAAAUUCCUUAGGUUUGUCGGUUCUAGAGGUGAUUCUCGCUUAGCGAGGAACGCUUGGAUAACGGAACACAAGGGCAUGAGGAUAGGUAUCGUGUGUUUCCGACGAACUUUAUUGACUUUAGAGUUUAGACCAAACCCUGGGGAUCAGUACCGAUCAACUAGGAUACCGUCCAUCUACGUUCAACCUUAUUAUGAGUUCAAUCUCUUUGAACGUGCGUAUUUGACCCUUGCUUUGCAGGGGAAAGAUCCUUGAGGCCCGCUCAGUAGCAUCAGCCGUCCUUAGAGCCGCUAAGGACCAGAUAUGGGCAAUGGGUUAUGGGAGGAGACUCGGAAAGCCGUUUUCAAGUGCCUGGUUGGACCAAUGGAUUGACAUGGCCGAGGUUCGAAGGACAAAGUAGAAAUUUAGGGACAGUCCAACCAUGUAACAUCGAAGGCAGUCUGAGGUAUAUUCUCACUAUAGUAUGGGUAGUAAGUAACAUGCGAUUUUAACGAGAUUAGAGUCCAGUCAAAAAUGGAGGAACAAGGGGUCCAUUUCGAUGAAGAAGGGGCAAAAGCUUUUAACGACAUGAUUUCCAGAAACGAAUUAAAGGAGGAUUGAGAACCUAAUCAUAACCAGAUUCGACGGAACAAAGUAACGUUGACUCACUGGUCUCAUGAACUAUUUAUUAGUCCUUGAAAAAUGAAAAGAAUGUGCGAAUUUGUAUUAUUUUACCAGUGUAGUUAGGGUGUCAAGUAAAGCUCGGCUCAGACUCGGGCUCGCGAGCCCAACGAGCCGAGUCCGAGCCUAAAGCUCGUUAAGCUCGAUAGGCUCGAUAAGAAGUAUAAAAAAUAUUAUAUUUAUAAAGAAUGGAGAUACAACACAGAUGGUAAAACGUUUGUUUAACAUGCGAGAGGUCACGGGUUUGAUCCCCCAUGUCUCCAAAUUAUUUCUUUUAACCUGCAGGUUAAGUCGAGCCCAAACUCGCUAAAGAGUUAUUCAGGCUUGACUCGUUUUAAAAAUUGUCAGGUUCGAACCUUGCUCUAUAAGCAAAAACUCGGCUCGUUUGACACCCUAAGCGUAGUGUAAUUCAAAAGUUCAAAAAUCAAAACAUCUAUAAAAAUCAACUACAAGUUUUUUUGAAUUUAAAUUAUCGAAUAAAAUAAGAUAUUAUUUGUUAAAAUCCAUUAUCAUUUCAAAACACAGUCAAAUUAUAAGUUAAAAUAAAUAAAUAAAUCAAAAUGUGACUAUCUCUAUAAUCAAAAGUGAUAUUGUUCUUGUUUUCUAGUCUUUACUCAACAAAGAACUUAAACAGAUAAAGAACAUUUACAGAAAAAGAAAAAAAUUAGCUAUUAUCAAUUACCUAAAUCAAGUGAGAUGAUGUAUUUUAGUAAUCAAAAGUGGUCGCAAACGACCAAACCACAAGGGAAUUUCAUAAUUGAAAAUAACCCUUCAAAUCUUCAAUCAAUGGGGUUAGGAAGAAGAGUGGGAAAACUUUCUGCAUCAACAGUAGGAAAUUUUAAAUCAAGAAUCAAAAUUAACAUAAAGAAAAAAAGGAAAAAGGGAUUAACAAUCUUUUCUAAAGAGAGUAUUUAUUUCAAGAGAAACCAGGAAUUUCUCCUGGAGAAGGAGCCAGUUCAUUUGCGGCAAACCUUCCCUCAUCAUAGAAUAAUGCUCGGACAACCCGUCCACCAAAGAAACGACUGUCCAGAUCGAUUAGUGCUUUGGUUGUUUCUUCAGACCUUUCAAACUGCACGAAUAUUCUGACGGCUUCCUCUGCAGGGAAGUUUGGCUCUGUGAUCUCGAAUAUCAAGACCCGUGUCACUGUACCGUAUUUUGCACAUUCUGACGCUACCUCAUCUUCCAGUUCAUCGUCAACUUCACCUGGUCCAACCUGCAAUGGAAAUACAUGUAUUUGAAGAAUAAUCAAUUCAAGUUCCCAAGUAUUAAAUAUUUAAGCUGAGCUUAAACAAUUGAAAACAUAUCAAGUUUUCAAUGACAAUCCAUAAUGAUAAAUUCCGAGCAUCCAUUAAUUUGCUUCUACAGAAAAAUAUAGCAUAGAAUGUGUGCAUAUUUUUAUGAGGUUUUAGUUGGAAACUAGACAGGAAACAAAGAAAGAAGCAAACCCGUGAAUGACAUACCAAAGUAUAUAACAUAUCAUGGUCAGUAAUAUAAAUAUUACAUAUCAUAUUAUUACUAAGUAAAUUCAUAGUUAGCAAGCCGGUGUUCAUGGAAUUUGAAACCCAACUAUCUUUAUUUAACUCAUAGUUUUCCAGAAAAUCAUGCGGGCCAGCACCUUCAAGCGAUCAGCCUUCAGACGCUGGCUGGGUUAAGCGGAUCUGGUUGGAUCCGUUUAACCCAUGUAAAACCUUGAUUGAAGUUAAUUAAGUGGUCGCGGAAAUCACUAAAAGGUUUCAUGCGAAUAUAAACAGAUAGGCAUUCGAAAUUAAGACAGUGAGCUGAACUAUUUUCUCAAUUUGCAUACAAAUAAGACUUGGGAUUUCGCUAAGAUCAUAUAAAAAUUAAAAAUAGUUUAAAAAUGAUUAAAUUAAGGCAGCAAAUAAAGUCAUACUAUUGAUUAUAAAUUACCUUAUAUCUGCCAGCAAUCAAGAUUGGUUAUUGGAAUAAACAACAACAUAAGCACAAAAAAUGUUGAAAAGCACUGGUGAUAUGGUUAAAUACAAAUACUGAUGAUAUGUUUUGGAAACAAAUAAAGUGAAGUUAUUAAUAGAGAGAGUUUGCAACCUUGCAUGAUGCAAAAAAAGUAUAGCAAAGAAAAGUGGCAGCAAUGUAGAAGUAGAAUACCAUGUUGCGAAGAAGAAGAACGCGAGUUGGAGUGCCAUUGAAGCUAACACUCUUGGGUUUCUUGGUUUCAGAUUUGGCAGAAUCACUGGCAUUCACAAUGACACCAGCUCUUCUAUCAGUUUUCUUUGCCAUCAAUGGUGUCGUAAUGCCCUGUUCUUGCUUUCCAAGACCCUGUCCCUUUUUCCAGCCCAUCUUCGCCAUCAUCCUCUGUGCCGCAGUCAUCUGCCCACCAGCUCCAACGCCCAACCCACCUGAAGCAGAUUUUCCAAUGCUAAAUCCUUCCCCAGUUGGAGGUGGUGAAGGCGACCUCGGAGGAACUCCCCCUCCACUCAUAGCCGCUCUCCUCUUCCAAGCUUCUUCCCCCGAGAUGUUCAAUGCUGAUGUUCUAGUUUCGUAAUCUCUACUUCUUUCCCUUUCAGCAGCUUCACGUUGCUCCUUUUCCCUUUCCUCCUCCUCUCUCCUCCGUCUCUCCAAAUCACGCUUCAUCUCCGCCUCCAACAACUUCCGUUUCUUCUCCCUCCUAUAAUCCUCAUAGUCGUUCGGCCUCGCUGGAUCAUAUUCGUUGUUAACCGUCGUUGGUACGCCAACAAGUGCCGGUUGAAAAGAUGAAGUUUUAACUCCAGUAGCCACUUCAUCAUGCAGAUUUGCAAUUGGUAUUACAGAGGAAGAUGUCGGUUUCGAAUGCGACGAAGAUGACGACGAGGUUUGAGCUCUACGCAAUACGGAAGGUGGAGGUGUGAAUAGAGUAGUAGGUUUGCGGAGAGCGGAAGGUGCCAUUUUAGCACUGUUUGACCACACAGGAGCGUUCCGAGCGGCACUUCCGCUUUUUUCUUCAUCGUCUGUAGAAGGUGGGGGUAGGUCGCCGUAUAAUCCCCCGAGCAUCUUUGUGAAUUCCAAGAGAUCAAAAUUAGGGGAAGAUUGAUUGUUGCCUGUUGGGAAAGAAUCAGAGUAACCCUAGAUUGACUGCAAUUCUGCGAACGAUGGUAAAUUACAGAAUGGUCCUUGGGUCAAAAAUUAGUUCUAUCACGAAGAGAAAUAUUGCAAAAAACCCAGUGACAACUGACAGUGAUCGGUCCUGACUCGGUGACUCCUGAGGUUCAAACUUUAAACCCUAAAGCGAUCUCUCCGUAAAAGGGCGCGGUGAGUAGAGAACCAGAGAUUUGGUGUAAACGACAUGUUCUUCCGUAGUUUGGCGUUGAUGCGCCUCCUCUCCGGCGCUAACGGCAUCCAAACAGUCCAUAGAAUCUCCGCACUUUCUCCGAAGGUAUUUGCAAAGUUCGAGUUCAGUUCACUCAUCUUUUUUUCUUCCAUUUCUUAUUAACUUGAUCUGUUUCGUUGCAGAGUUGCAGACCAACGGUGCUUUCAGAAUAUAUUAUCCAAGUUCGCACCUUUUCUGCCAAAGGUAACGAAUGUUUCUUCUUUGGCCUGUGUUUUGAAUCCAGAUUGUUAUUGCUCUUUUCAUGAAUCCAUUUUGGGUUUGAUCCUUAGGGAAAAAAAAGUCCAAGUCAGAGUGUGAUGACUCCAGCGAGGAGACCUUGUCUAAGAAAGAUCAAGCAUUGUUGCAUGCGUUGGAUGAGAUUAACAGUGCAUUUGGAAAAGGGUCUAUCAUGUGGCUUGGUCGUGAUGCAGCAACACGAGAGGUUCCUAUUAUUUCAACCGGGUCGUUUGCUUUAGAUAUAGCUUUGGGGAUUGGAGGACUCCCAAAGGUAUAUUAAAAAAAAAAAUCAUAUGCCUAGUUAUUUCAAUAGAUUACCAUAGUGUUCAUACCAUUUUCAUUUGUGAUUUUAAAUUUUGUAGGGACGUGUUGUGGAAAUUUAUGGUCCAGAAGCUUCUGGCAAAACUACAUUAGGUCUUCAUGUCAUUGCUGAAGCACAGAAGUCAGGAGGUUGUUUCCUUUUGUUGGAUGUACAUAAAAUUAAAUUCUUCAUAUUCAAUUAGGAUGGAAAGAUUGAUCACUACUUGAACAUUUUACUCACAUUUUUUCCUUCCUAUUGUUUUACAUCUGUGGCUAUUAUUUGACCAAAUGUUUGUCAAUUUUUGUGUUUCUGUUUUGAUUAUUUUUUAUACAGGUCUGUUUUGAUUAUUUUUUAUACAGGUCAAUGUCUUUUUGUGGAUGCUGAACAUUCCCUUGAUCCGUCAUUGGCCGAGGCUAUUGGUGUGAAAACUGAAAAAUUGCUCAUUUCUCAGCCGGAUUGUGGUGAGCACGCACUUAGUCUUGUAGACACUAUGAUCCGAAGUGGUGCUGUUGAUGUUGUAGUAGUAGACAGUGUAAGUUUUUAAUCUACCAAAUACCAAUCUUCAGAAAAAAGCCCUAAAAUUCUAAAAAAAUGUGCAUAAUUCAAGAUUUCUCAAAGUUUACUAACUUAUACAUUCUUCCAAAUCUUGGGUUGCCUUUGAUAGCUUAAUCUUCAUAGUUCAACUUUUUCACUAACCUGCAAGAGCAUGGCAUACAGGUAGCUGCUCUUGUUCCUAAAAAUGAACUUGACGGUGAGAUGGGAGACGCACAUGUGGCUCUUCAAGCAAGAUUAAUGAGUCAAGCUCUUAGAAAAUUGAGUCAUUCUCUAUCACUGUCCCAGACGAUCUUGAUAUUCACCAAUCAGGUAUGCCUCGACAACUAUCACAGAAUAUAAUCAAUAAUUAAUUAUUUAUUUUCCUCAUAAUUAAAUGCAAGUUGCGAUAUUGUUAUUAUGUGUGUUUAGAUCAGAGCCAAGAUGGCAACGUUUGGAUUUGGCGGUGCAACUGAGGUCACCUCAGGAGGGAAUGCCUUGAAAUUUUACGCGUCUGUCCGUCUCAAUGUCAGACGUAUUGGUUUUGUCAAAAAAAAUGAAGAGGUAAGAUAACAUUUUCUCUACUAUUUUGGCAAAGUUUUAAAAUUUAAACACUUGUUAUUUAGAUUAAUAAUAAUUAGGCCAUUUAUUAAAUAUAUUUAGAGUAUCAAUUCAGUGUUGUAGUUAGAAUAUUAUUAAGAUUUAGAAAACAGAUUGUCCUAAGAUUCUAUAAAUAGGGAAUACUUCCCCUAAAACAAUUUUUUUCCUGUUUCACUCAUUCUGUAACUCAAGAAAUUUCCUUAAGGUCUUAAAUUGAUCGUUCAGUCGAUUGACGACAUGACUCCAUGUGGUACCUUGAUCCCUCCUACAUUGGAUGUCGUCGCUCUUCAAUUUAGAAUAUCCUCAUAUGAACAUUCUCCGUCUACCAUUUUUGAUGCUACAUACAACGAAUUAUAUAUUUAUAGUAAGGUUAAAAGCAUUAUUGAAGAGGUUCUUGACUUCUUCUACUUUGCUGGUUUUGAUUCUCUAUUUAUUUUUGGUUUUACAAGGAUUUUUUGACAACAAUGGACUAAUCCUCCAUUCUUUUUGACUUGUUCUAACAAUUCAUAUAUGAACUAUAUAUUUUUUACCAAUAAUAUCAUUGUUUUAUUGAAAAUGGUUAACAAUAGAUCAUAGGAAGCUCAGUUUUGGUGAAGAUUGUGAAGAACAAGCAUGCUCCCCCUUUCAGGACUGCGCAAUUUGAACUUGAAUUCGGAAAAGGUAUUUGCCGCGAAGUGGAAUUAAUCGAUUUGGGCGUCAAACACAAAUACAUCACCAGAAACGGUGCGUAUUACAGGAUGAAUGAUAAAUCAUUCCAUGGAAAAGACGCCAUCAAAGACUAUCUAGUCAACGAUAUAGACAUUCGAGAAAAUUUGGCAUUAAAUUUAAAGGAAAAGCUAAAGAUGCAGACGACAACAAUUACAAAAAAUUGUUCUGUAACUGAUGAAGAUGAAAUCGUCAACGACGCAUUACAUGGAUAGUUAAUUUUUUAUUAUCAAUUUAUUAUCAAGAGAGAAAUCUAAAACUCUAAUCGAUAAAACAUUAAAAUUACAUUCAUAUAAUUCUAAUUCUAAUUAAAUUAAAAAAGAAAUUAUAGAUAAAUAAACCUCUUCCAAGAACAAAAGCUUUUGAUAAAAGUAACUAACAUACAUUAAACGGUAUUUAACAAAAAAACAAAUAACUAUAACAAACUUUAAUUAAAACUUAAACUAAGCUUUUUUGGGAGAUUUGACAGAAUCCUCUGCCUUACCGCUCUUUGGCAAUAAAACUGAAUGGAUAUUGGGUAGCACACCACCUUGGGAAAAAGUAACACCAUGUAACAACUUUCCUAGCUCAACAUCAUUUCUAACAGCAAGAAGCACAUGUCGUGGGGUGAUCCUCGUCUUCUUGUUAUCCCUUGCUGCAUUUCCAGCCAACUCCAAAACCUGUGAUAAUUAUAUUAUCAAAUACCGUUUGACGAUAAAAUAGUGAAAAAAUGAUCGGUUUCUUAUUUUUUACCUCAGCAGCGAGAUACUCGAGAACAGCGGCAAGAUAAAUAGGAGCACCAACGCCAAAACGUUUAGCGUAACGACCUCUUCUCAGAAACCUUCCUACUCUGCCAACGGGAAAUUGUAGACCAGCUUUCAGUGACUUUGAAACUGGCUUGGUCCUCACCGAUCCCUUCCUUCCCCCGGCGCCUUUGAUCUUGCUUGAUUCCAUUUUUGUCGAUGCUAUGCGAUUUAACGACGACAAAUUUGAAGUUUAGAAAACUUGUUUGUUAAAACGAAGAGGAGUGGGAAGCAUAUUUAUAUGGAAAGAGAGGAAGACGAUCCGUGUGUUGGAGUAGGUUGGGAAGGUUAGGAUUGAAGAAAAUUAUUUUGACGGUGUGGAUGGCUUGUAAGAUGGCGUAAUCCGUGGACUCUUUGUUUAAACCAAUGGGGCUACGUGGGUGGGUAUAACUUGUAAGAAAUUACAAGGGUAUUCGAUGGCGGGAAUUAUUUGUUUUCAUUUGGGUGGAAAAAAAUUACUUUGUUUAAAUAUUAUUUUUCAAAAUCUUAAUUAAAAAUAUAUGUUAUUUUAAAGCAAUAAUUUUCUGCCUCGUGCUUAUAUGAGCUCAUCAGCUCUCAGUCGUUAGAUCUUUACAUUGAUAAUCUCAUCCGUCCAUCAGCUAUAUUAUUUUUUUAUGUACACUUUUUUGAGGAGUGAUGACUGGUUAUUAGUUUAUGAUAAAAAAAGCUAUUUAUUUUAUUUUAAAUCGUUAACUAUUUUUUCUACUUUAAUUUUAAAUCUCCAUCAUUUUGUCUAGUUGCAUAACUUAUAUAUAUCUCCUUUAAUUUUAACAUAGAUCAUCUAAAUUGCUCUACAUACAUCUCUCUUUCAUCUAUGAUUGAUGUCCAUUAAUAUUUCUAGUUAAAUCUUUUUUACUUUUAAUAUAGUUGUUCUUACAUUCCUCCAUUCUCAUAUAACUCUCUCGCAGUUUACCGUUCAAUUUCGUAGGUCACUAAUUGUAUAACUUACGUCUUUUUUACUUAUGAAAUUGUUGUUUGUUAUUACCAUCACCUAUAUAUUAUUUAUUUAUGAAGUCAUUGUUCGUUGUUAACAUCACUUACAUAUAUCUAUUUUACUUAUAAAAUCGUUGUUUCUUAUUAACCACAUACAUCUACUUUACUUACGAAAUCGUUGCUCAUGGUCAAAUAAGAAAUGAAUUUGAGGUAAAAGAACCUACCUUAACAUUAUACAAGGAAAAAACGGAAGCUUUGUUACAAAACCUUUCAGAAACAAAGAUCAACCUGAUCAAUAGAAACCUGAAUGGAGAAACCGAUGCCUUAGCCAGGCUAGGCGCAUCUUCAACCUAAAUAGCAGAAAAAAAGUGGAUACAAUUAGAAAAUAUAACGACACCAUCUUUUAAAAUUUACUCAAUUUCAAAUAGUGAAAACGACUGAAGAACUCUUGUUUCCAACUUCCUAAACGGAAAAAUGCCAGAAGCAACGAAAUGGAAAAAAAAAAUCAAAAAUCAAUCCGCACAAUCAUCGAUAACGAACUAUUUAGAAGAGACUACUAAUUAAAUUGUCCAUUCUUAAAUUGAAAAUUUCCGCUAUCUUCACAUCUCGUAAUCCCUAGUCCAACCGGGUCGUCGCGUCUCUCUCUUUGACCGGACUUUUGCUGGUGAACCGGGCUUGCUGCCGUUAAACUGCCCUGGGUCAUCUUCUUCCCCAAAUCUGGAACUUUAGGUCGCCGUCUUGCAGGAUUUUGGCAACGUCUCCUCUGAGAGCUUCACAUCCGAUUGGAGUGUGUGGUGGUUCUGCCGGAGUCAUAUCAUCACCGUCCCCUUGAAGACCAACAUUGCCCUCAAUGUUGAUUGAAGGAAAAAGCUCAGCUAUAUCAUCCGUAAAUUCCCAUGAUAUAUCUUCUAGAAUUGCUCCGUUCCACAAGAUUAGUACUUGUUUCCUUGCCCUUCCUCCCUGUAAUAUUUCCCUUUUAUUUAAAAUUGCAAUAGGGUAGACGAUAGGUUUAUUGUUCACUGAAAUGAUUGGCUGAUCAUCUACUGAAAUUUUUGGAAUAGGGCCGCAGAACUUUCUCAGCUUGAAUACAUGGAAUGUGGGAUGUAUUUUGCUCCCCUUAGGUAAUUCCAAUCUAUAAGCAACCUGAUUUACCUUCUUGCAUAUUUUGUAUUGACCAAAAUAUUUUUUGCAAAAUUUGUUAUGCAAUCUAUGAGCCACUAAGAUCUGUCAGUAGGGUUUUAAUUGAACAAGAACUCAAUCUCCCUUUUCAAAUGAUAACUCUGUUCUUUUUUUAUCUGCUAUUUUUUUCAUUCUCGAUUGGGCCUUCUCUAGAUUUAUCUUUAUUGCUUUUAGUGAUUCUUCCCUGAGUUGUAUAUCCACAUCUACUGCAGGAACUUGUGACUCACCUGAUUUGUAAUGUGGAAUAUUAGUAGCUUCUCUUCCAUAUAAGACUUUGUAGGGACUUGCUCCUAGAGAAGAAUGGAAACUUGAAUUGUACCAAAGUUCUGCCCAGGGCAGCAACUUAAGCCACUGUUUUGGCUAUUCAUGACAAUAGGCCCUCAGAUUCAUCUUGACUGUUCUGUUUAAUACUUCAGUCUGCCCAUCAGAUUGAGGGUGGUAAGCUGAAGAGAAAUUCAGUUUAGUUCCACUCAAUUUAUGUACAUCCUUCCAAAACUAAUGGGAUGGCAAUUUUGGCUUAGAACAACCCCAAUCCCAUUUUUACAUGCAUCAGUCACUACUGUAAACUCUACUUCAAAAUCAGGAAAACCCAAUACUGAAACAGACACCAUUGCUGCCUUUAACCUUUCAAAACUGAUGGUGGCUUCCUCCCCCCACUUGAAACUAUCCUUUCUAAGUAGGUCUGUCAUUGGAGAGGCAAUAGAAGCACACCCCUUGAUAAAUCUUUUAUAGUAUCCAGUGAGGCCUAAAAAUCCUCUUAAUGUUUUCAGAGUUUUAAGUUGUGGCCACUCUACCAUUGCUUUUAUCUUCUCAGGAUCUAGAUGAACACCAUCUCCAGCAAUAAUAUGACCAAGGAAUGACAUAGAAUCUCUGCCAAAGGAGCAUUUGGACAAUUUGACAAGUAACUUUUUUUCUUCUGAAUAAUUCAAAAACAAUUCUUAGAUGAUUAAUAUGAUAUUCCACGGAUGCACUAUAUACCAAUAUAUCAUCAAAAAAUACGAUGAUAAAUUUUCUCAUGUGCAUAGAGAAAAUAGAGUUCAUCAAGGACUGAAAAGUGGUUGGUGCGUUAGUAAGGCCAAAAGGCAUCACUAAGAACUCAAAAUGGCCUUGGUAAGUUCUAAAUGUUGUUCUCUGUGUGUGUUAGGAUUAACUCUGAUCUGAUGAAAUCCAGACCUCAAAUCUAACUUGGAGUAAAUUGUAGAUCCCUUUAGUUCUCCCAAAAGUUCAUCUACAGUUGGGAUAGGGUAUUUGUCCUUGAUAGUCAAGGCAUCCAAGGCCCUAUAAUCCACACAUAAUCUAUAUCCUCCAUCUUUUUUUUACUAAUAGUACAAGAGAAGAAAAUGGGCUAGAACUAGGUUUAAUGAUACCUUGCUUGAGCAUUUCAGCUACUAAUCUUUCUAUCUCAGAUUUCUAGAAUUGCGGGUAUCUGUAAGGUCUUACAUUAACAGAACCAGCCCCAGGCUCUAGAUGUAUUGCAUGUUCCUUCUCUUUUUGAGGUGGAAGGCCACAAGGUUCUUCAAACAGUUCAUAGUAUUCUUGAACUAUAGAUGUAAGCUCUGGACUCUUUGAAACUAAUGCAUUUCCUGGUUCAACAUCUUCUACUCUCUCCAUAUAACACAAAUAAGCCUCUUGUGUAGAUGCAGUAAGGUACUUAAGUUGUCCUUUUGUCAAAGGAUCUUCAGAAAUCCAUGGUAGUCCCAACCAAGAAAUUUUUUUGCCCUUCAAACAGAAUUCCAUGAUGGAGUUUUCGAAAUCAAAAGUAACCUUCCCAAAGAGAUAUGUUACUCCACGCAGAAAGGUCAUUAAGAGAGUACAGUCCAUCUGGUUUGUUAAUGACAAGACCUAACAUUGAGAGAUCAGUAAGAAGAUCAAGAGUCGGGCAUUCGAAAGAAAGUUUAGGUCAUUAAAAACAAAAAAACAAAAAACAAGGGACGAGUAAUAAUUAUUCUUCCUGCAGGGAUUUAAGAAAUGACGGCAAAAAGUUGAUACCGAUAAAUCAGGGAACUAUAUUUUGACGGUAGAAUACACUUUUUGAGAACAUAACAAAUCAAAAAAGAAAAUAAGGUCGCAUAAAAACAUCUACAGUCAGAUACGACAACCAACCAAGAUCCGUUUCAGGCACACUUGGAGAGCUAGGGCGUGUCGCAACUCGAAAAGAUCGAGUGGGUUAAUUUGUGCACCUUCGAAGGUAUUUUUGGUAUACUUUUAAUAAAAUAAAACCUAAAUCCAGAUGAAACAGAAGCAAACAACAGAAAGAAAUCCCAGUGUCUAUAAAAAGGCGUAAAUACCAACAAAGCAAAACAAAAUUUUGUAAGAUGAACCCAUUUUAUUUAAGUAUUUUUACAAAAAUACAUUUAAGAAAUGCAUUUCAUCUACAAGAACACAAGGUAAGAAAAUGCGGCAACAGGCGUUUUGAGAGCAACUCCAACAUUUCAGACAGUAGGCUUUCUACGAGGAAAACGAACAACACGGGGGAGGGUGUAAGGUGCAUGGUGUCUAUACACCCGAUUAUGACAUGCACAGUAACCCGACUCAGAUGCCUCCGUUCUCUGCAACAACGUCAACCUCCUUUUUACAUCUAACAACAGGUGGUUCACUCGAUCCAGCAGAGCAGAAAGUCGACUGCUGGCUCCCUCAUCAGUCGAUCACACCAGAACUCCAGCAAUGACGCUCUGAUGAUAAACGAGCUCAAGGACAUAUUCUUCCAACAGUGCUCGAGUCAUCCUUCUAUCAAGUUUUCUUUAACGGGAGGAGUAACUGUUGAUACGUAAUUGGUCGCGCUAUAUACUUGCACCGACCAAUCACAUCUCGCCAGGAACUACAAAUAAAUUGGAAUUGCAUGUCCGGCUUAAUAAGGAGUUCGACACUUGGAUCGUAACGUGUCACCAAGCUAAUGUAUCCCCCGACUAUAUAAGGAGAAAACAUCAAUAGAACUCGACGGGAUCUCUACAUCAACACAUAACAACUCAUUUGUGUCGUUCAUUUUUAAGAAAUGUUAACGUGUCUUUAAAAAUAGUGGGACGUAUACAAUUUUUGAUAACAUCUGAUUAUCUACCAUCCUACGUAUUUUAUCGAAAAAAUCAAUCCACGUAUUAAUGUUGAUGUUGGAUGUUCCGGAUAUUCUUUUAAACAAAUUACAUUCUAAAAAAAAUUGACUACCGUUUUGAGCAAACUCCCUUAUCAAAAUACUUGCAUAAAUAUCGAUUAUCUGCAUUUUCUUGUAAGUCAGAUUUUUCAAAAUGAAUUUAAAUGUUUGGUCUGAUUGAUCUCACAUGGUCGUUGUAGAUUUUCUUUUGAACAAUAUCUACAAUGUCUUGCCCAUUAUAAAACCGUCUGUUGCGAGAAUACGAUUUUUUUUCGAUUUGUCAAAAAAACACUUUACAAUUACAUUAUUCAUUUGUUGUCCAAAAAAUUAAUAAAGUGGCUACCUUUAUAAAGGAUGGAAUGAAAUAAACAUUUUUUUGUGUGAUGUUGGGUGAUACUGGAACAUCACCCUUGUGAGAGACUAAUUGUUUGUCCCUAUUGGUAAAUGGUUUGCAUUUAUGAAAAUAUUUAAAGAAGGAUGUAUUUCUACUGAGGUGCUCAAAGACAUUUGAGUUAAUAAUCCAAUAAAAGUUUGAAUAAUUAUUAUGAAAAAUGAAAUUUGCAAUACUUGAAUCUUUGUAUUUUAGUAGUGGUUUUGGAUUGUAUUUCUCAGAAUAAAGUGGAAAGCCAUGGGGUCCAAUCGGGUUGUCAGGUGUCUCAUUCUUUUUCACUGAAUUGUCCCAUAUGCAGACCAGGCUUGUUUGUCAGUAGUGACAUAAUUCACAAAACUAUAUGACAUUAUUGGAGUUGGUUUUUUUUGUUGAGGGGACACCCUUGUUUUGCUUGUGAUCCAGAGGAUAGCCAUGUUGAACAUAACAUUUGUCAUCACUAUGUUCAAAGACAACACAGUGAAAGCAAUAGUGUUUAGUGUUAACUUGUCUAUCACUCUUUAAGUAGAGUGGUUUAGAUGAAGGAGGAGGUAUCUUUCUUAAAUUUGAAGAGGAUAUAUGGAGCAAUUUGUAAAUUUCUCAACAUGGGAAGAACUGACAUUGUUGUUUUUGUAGACUUUUGCUGAAUUUUCUAUUUUUGUAGAGUAAAAGGCAGACCCUUGCAGAGCAUUGGUGUUGUCAGUCAGAUGUUCUUGGGUUUUUCAUGGACUACCAUUGAAUAAACCUUUCCACCCUUUGGAAACUUCUCCAUUGAUAAAAUGUGUAACCUAAUUUGUCUGAAAUAUUCCUCAUUCAAAAUCAUUAAGAUCAAUUUCCUGAUUUUAAACCUUUCUUCUCUGUCAUUGAUUUUACCAUUCACAUUGCACGUGCACAAACCACAGUCACAGUAGAGAAUCUCCCCAUAAAUAUCAACUUCUCUCCAAGAAUUUUUAAGGUUGGUGAAAAGUUUAGAGAUAGAGUCAGCAUCUUGUUGAAGCAAAGCUACAUCUUGUGACAAAUGAUAAAUACGUGUUUUAUUUGAUUGCCUGAAUUGGUCUCUGAGAGGCUGAGAUCACUCCAAAUGAUGGAAGCAUCAUUUAUAUAUAUGACUUGAAAGGUAAUCUAUUUUUCUAUGCAUCGUAUUCUCUACUUGGGUUUUCUAUGAUCGUCUUCUCUAUUUCCUUCAGGUAUUCUAGUUUUCUCCCCGAAUCAGUCUAUUUUCUAUGAUUUUCUAUUUUUAUCACAAUAGCGAUGAAAUUCAACAAUUACGGACAACAGCGGAUGAAAAUGUAUGUUUUAAUUAAUUUUACUAUUUUAAAUUAUUUGAGUGUUUUAUUUUUUGAUAUGCUAUUUUCCUCUUUUAGGUGGUUCAACAAAAAUGCAUUGAAAAAUUCAUCAAAAACAAAAGAAGAAGAUACAUUGGACUUGAUGGAAGAUCAUAUGCUGAGUCGAUCGAGCACUGCUUCUAUAAGAUUUUCAGUUGAAAUGAAUUUACGAAAUCUUGAAAAAGAAAUAAUGAAUGAUCAAAUCAAGUCUUUACUAGAGGUAUGCGUAUGAUAAUACAUGAAAUUUUAAAAUAAUAUAUAAAUAUUAAUGAAUCUUAAAUGUUUUACAGGAUAAUCGAAAUUUGAAUAACAAAUACGAUCAAAUUUUUGAUAUGUAUCAAGAGUUGUUGAAAAGAUUUCCAUCAUAAUCGAAUACAACUCCAUAACCUUCUGAUCAUGGAUCGUUGUAAGAUAAUAGUAAUGAAGCUCAUAACGAUCGAAGAUAUCAAACUCCUCUAUCCAUAAUUUUAAUCAAAAUCAGAGAAAUAGUUUAGUAUAAAUAUUAGAUUAUGAAUUCUCUUUCAAUUUUAGAUAUUUUGAAAUUUAUAAGAUGUUAAUAAUGUAAUUCAAUUAAUGUUGAAUGUUAAAUGAUUUUACUCAUUAAUGUUGAAUGAAUUUAGUGAUUAAUAUUGAAUAUGAAUUAUGAAUGUAAAACUUUAAUAUGAAUGUUAUAUGAUUUAUUUCUACAGGAAAAAAUAUUUAAGCAAUAUAUGAAAUGAAAUACAUUUUGGAAAUAUUUUUUGUGCAAAAAAAAUAUUGUAACGGAAAUUCCGUUAAAAAUGAUCAGUCUUUUUUUUUUUGUAUUUGUAACGGAAAUUGUAACGAAAAUUCCGUUACAAAUACCCCGUUAACUUAGUUUGAAAAAUCAAAUAUGUAACGAAUAUUUGUACGGAUUUGAGUAUUUGUAACGAAAUUUUGGUGACGACCAAAGUUAACAGAAAUUCCGUUAUAAAUGACAUAGUUAACAAAAUUUCCGUUAACUUUGUUCGUCCAUGAUAAGUGAUUCAAGCCUCAUAUUCCUCAAGAUUUUUGUUAGAGGGUUCCUUAAUUCAAUAGUUGUUCCAAGGACAAAUUCAGUUUCCUUCUUAUUAUUAGCAUUGUGGUCAUCUCUCUGUUUCAGAGGUAAUAGUUUUGGCUUCCUUCACAAUGAUUAGACAACUUCAGGAAAUAUGGAGAAAUAGGGUCAAAUAGAAGACCCUCCCUUGGUUUUUUAUCAUCCAUUGAAAAUGCACUGUGACGACAUUCACAAUGAUGAAGGUGAAGGUGUAUUAGAUAAUUAAAUAGAAAGUGUAAAUGAGUAUGGUCCAUAAACAUGGAUGAUAUAUAAAUGAAUGUUUGGGUUUAUGCAAGUUAUGACUCCUCAACACAAAAAUGGUGAAGGGUCACAUAUAAAUUCAACAUGUUAUGAAAUGAAAUUGGUUGUUUAAGAAGAACAGAGUGAUAUGGAUAAACAAGAUAAGUAAUGUGCGGAAGCGUCGAUCAUGGAAGUUAGAUACAAAACUUUGUAUGAAAAAUCACUCAAUCAUAUAUGAGAAGGGGAACCAAAUCACUCAAAGUUAGAUACAAAACUUUGGAUCAUGGAACACAGGAACCAAAUCAACACAACACCACUUGUAGCUUUGAUACCAUGUCAGAGUCGACGAGCUAAGAAGAUGGUGUACGUAUUGUUUAUGAUAGAUUUAGAUUUAAGUCUAAAAACUCAACUAUGAAUAACUUGUUAUUUGUUGUAUGAGAUAGGAGUAUCCAAAAUAACCCUCAAUGGAUGUUACUUAGUAGUUAGUAGUGAGUCUGGACCCCGAAUUGAGUAUGGUGAGAUAACUGAGGAGAGGCCAAGGAGUCUGGUUGGAGUUCGUUUCUUAGGGACGGAUCUCUUUUAGGGUGGGCGGGUGGUGGUGGUGGCUACCUUACGUUUGUCUCACGUCUGACUAGCUAGUCGACUUAGUUGAUUAUUGGCGAAUCCGACCUUUGCCUACUUUCGAAGAGGAGGGGAAGGAGGAUGCCUUGAAUAGACUAUGGUUGUGUGGAAGUGUCUCUCAGAUGAACACGAGUAUAUGACGGACGAAAAUAUAUCCCAAACUCUUUAAAAGAUUUUUAUAGAGCGUGUGAGUUGUCUUUGGUUAUAUUAUGAAUUGUAUUAAUUGUAAUUGCUAAUAUAUUUAUCACUAUUUUAUUAAAAAAAAAACUUCAUGCAACUUAUUAAGUUAUAACUAAUAUCAAAUAAAAAAAACCAUGUUCACGUCGUCACUGUAACACUGUCACUAUUUCUCCGGGGCAAAACUGUCAUGUCCACGCGUCAAACAAUAAUUGGUCACAAACACGUUUCCUGGUUCGUCAUUGGUCGAAACCUAGUCAUUUUCGACCUUUAUAUUUCAAUAAAGAGAGAUUAAUCCAUUUCUCGUGUCGACGCGUCGUGGUUCUUCUUCCUCCUCUGUUACCAUCGGGUUCUUCAACCCAGGCCGUCGAUUCCCUGGUAAGAUCCAUUCCUCACCGUUCGCUUAUACUUCCAGGGUUUUUCUUCUCCACAGUUGAUUUUUGAGAUCUGAUUUUCUUGGAUUCGCAGGCGAUGGCGAACAAACAGAUCGCACCUUUAGCUCUCCUGGUAAUCCUGAUCGCGUGUUUCUUGUUCUCAUCUCAUGCUUCGGAUGCGGUGAGUGUUUGCUGGAUGGAUCUUGACAUCUUGUGUUAUCUAGUUCUUAAUUUUUCCAUCUACGAUGUGUUUGGGUGAUGAUGCUAAUCCGUGAUUUCAGAUCUUCUAUGAAUCAUUCGAUAAGUCAUUCGAGGGGUCUUGGGUUGUAUCGGAAAAAGAAGACUACGAAGGUUUGCAUUCCGAUCCGAAUUUCGAACUGUUUUUAAAAUCUCUCGUUAGCAUCUAUUGAUAAAAUAUGGAUUUUUUUACUGGAUCUGGCGAAAGGGUAGAUCAGAAUAAUUAGUAUACCUCUUGCAGAUUUGCCAAAGUAGAACAAUAAAUUUUUGAUUAUACGGAUUAAUAAGCUGCAUUUAAAAUUUUGAAUGCAAUUUUCUACCGACUCUCGGACGGUCCGACCCACUUCUCGUGAUUAUCGGCAUAUAAAGCAUUAAAGUCAACUUAGUUAGAUCUAAGAACUAGUUUGAAGUUAUAUAAGUAUUAAGUACCAAGUGGUCUUUUCAAUUGAUAUACCACAGUACUCGUGUUAAAAUAACAAAAUUAACAAUCCGAUCUAGUAUUAUUUGUUAUUAAAUUUGGCAUUUGAACAAACAAUUCAUCAUUCUCCAUAUCUUGUAACGAAGCUACAAAUUUAAUAAUAUCUUGUAUCUAUAGUUCAUUUUCAUAGUAGGGAAGUAAUUUGUGUUUGUUUAUAUUACCAUAUUAGCAUGAAAUACUCCGAUAGCUUUAUGAAUUAUGAUAGUGACUUAGCCUUUAGAGUUUGGAUUUAGCAGACAGUGGUGAAAUACUGUUUGGCGGAUUUUUCAUGUUUCUUUUUAGCAUUUGAUUUGUGUGUUUAUGGUAGUUUUGUCAGUUUGUGAUUGAGAAUUAUUCUUUCCCCAUACUGAAAAUGACAAUCUUGAUAAUUUUGUGUGGGACACUAUUAUCAGGUGUGUGGAAGCACUCAAAGAGCGAGGGGCAUGAUGAUUACGGUCUUCUUGUUAGCGAUAAAGCAAAAAAGCAUGCCAUUGUAAAUGUACUUGAUAAACCUGUAAGUCUUAAGGAUGGAACCAUUGUCUUACAGUUUGAAGUUCGUCUCCAAAGUGGUCUUGAGUGUGGUGGGGCAUAUCUGAAAUAUCUCAAACCACAAGAUGCUUCAUGGAUUCCAAAAAAUUUUGACAAUGAGUCUCCUUAUUCUAUUAUGUUUGGGCCUGACAAAUGUGGGUCUACAAACAAGGUUCAUUUCAUUCUCAGGCAUAAGAAUCCUGUUUCAGGGGAAUAUGUUGAACAUCAUCUCAAGCAUCCAGCAUCUGUCCCAUCGGAUAAACUCUCCCAUGUAUACACAGCGAUCAUCAAACCUGAUAAUGAGUUACGGAUUUUGGUCGAUGGGGAGGAGAAGAAAAAGGCCAACUUUUUGUCUUCGGACGAUUUUGAGCCAUCCCUUAUUCCAGAAAAGACAAUUCCAGACCCAGAUGAUAAGAAGCCCGAGGAUUGGGACGAGAGAGCUAAAAUAGCCGACCCUGUUGCAGUGAAGCCAGAUGAUUGGGACGAGGAUGCUCCCAUGGAAAUUGUAGAUGAAGAGGCCACCAAGCCAGAAGGUUGGUUAGAUGACGAACCUGAAGAAAUUGAUGAUCCAGAAGCUACAAAACCAGAAGAUUGGGAUGACGAUGAAGAUGGUGAUUGGGAAGCACCCAAGAUCGAUAAUCCCAAGUGUGAGUCUGGUCCUGGUUGCGGGAAGUGGUCAAAACCAAUGAAGAGUAAUCCUGCCUACAAGGGUAAAUGGUAUGCUCCUAUGAUUGACAAUCCAAAUUACAAGGGUAUUUGGAAACCACAACAAAUCUCAAAUCCCAAGUAUUUCGAGCUUGAGAAACCAGACUUUGAGCCUAUAUUUGCCAUUGGCAUUGAAAUAUGGACAAUGCAAGAUGGUAUUCUUUUUGAUAAUAUUUUGAUAGCAAGCGAUGAGAAAGUUGCGGAAUCAUACAGAGAGAAAACCUGGAAACUCAAGUUUGAGGUAGAAAAAGAAAACCAGAAGUCAGAGGAAGUCGUCUCUGGUGAACACACUGGUCUUCAGGUGAUAAGUCAUUUACCACUAUCCAUUUUAAUUUAACUCAUUUACCACCAUCUAUCGGUACUUUUUGCUAACGCCAUUUUUCUCUCGAUGUUCAGAAAAUGGUGUUUGAUUUCCUCUACAAGAUUGCAAAUAUUCCAUUUCUGGCACCUUACAAGUCCAAAAUAAUUGUAAGUUCAUCCUCCCAGAGUCUCACUUUCUCAAUCAUAGUAAUUAAUCAACCACCUAUAUUUUGUGAAAAUGGCAGGAUCUAAUCGUGAAAGGUGAGAAGCAGCCCAAUAUUACCAUCGGAAUCGUCUUCUCCAUCCUAUUGGUUCUGUUAACAGGAGUCUUCAAAGUCCUCUUUGGCAGCAAGAAAACAGCUGUACCUGUAAGUAAUAAGAUUCAUAAUAUAUUCACAAAUCACAGGUAUGAAAUUGCAUCCUUUUUAUAUUUCCUUGCAUCAGGCACCUCCUGCAAAGCCAGUUACCGCCGCCUCUACGUCUGAGACCACAGAGAAAAAAGACGAUGAUGAGAAAGAUGAGACUACAGCUCUGCGCCAAAGGAAGUCCAGACGUGAUACAUAGAAUGGAAAUGAGGCUUCUAGUUUUUUGUCCUUCGAUAACAAAGAACUUGUAUUAGAACAUGAGCAUAGUAUUUGUAAUUUGGCUCGAAGUUGCUGUGUGCUUGCCUUCUUGGCUUCCUUCUUUAGCUAAUUAAUCAGUAAUUCAGUAAUCAGUAUUGUUGUAUUUUGAUUUUUUGUCAUUUUCUAAAUUCCAAUUCAAGUAAUUCAACAGAUAUUUAAUAUUUAUUAUUAAUUAAUAGUAUCAUUUGUUGAUGUUUAAUAUUAAUAAUAAAAUCAUAAGGACUUUUUCGCAAUUCAUAAGGACUAAGGAACAACAUUGGUGGAUUAAAAUCCCGCGAAAAAUUAACCCAUAGAGAGAGGUCAUUCGUUAAUGUAGCGCACUUCAACUGAACUCACUACGCUACGUCAUACGACUCACACACAGCCUUUCUUCUCCGACGAUAAAGAUUAAAGAGGGAAACGGCCAAAGGGACCUUUUCAUAGGAGGAGAGAAGAAGUUAGAUUCUAAAUCCUUCAUUUCCCACCGGAAGAAUGACGCUUCUCUGCUUCCUUCUCGAUCUUCGUACGAUCCCGCCGUCUCUUCUUCGUGAGAUUAAACAGGUUCACGAUCAAACACCAGUACAUCGCUGAAUUAUUUAGUUUAUUCCGAUCUUUCUUUUGGCAAUGAAUUUUGAUGUGUCGUGCUUUGUUUUCUAGAGUCUGUUACAACUCGCGAAUCUCUAUGCCAUUUCAGUCUGGAAUGAGGCGGAGGAUCGUCCGUUCACUCCGUUGCAGGAUAGGAUCGGGUUGUGCUAUCUGCAUAGGAAUAUGAUGCUUAAUUCUGACGAGGUUUAAGAUUUUUCUUGUCUGUACUUUUGUCAUUGGCUUAUUGCUUUAUAUAUAUUUUUAUGGAUGCGCAUGGAUUCUUUAGUUGGAUUUUAGAUCGUGAAAACAUUGACAUGACUGAAUCGAUAACUUUAACGAUGGUGGUUAAAUAUGUCUGUAAAUUAUAGACACACGAAAUAUGGAAAUAAUGUUAAACGGGGAAAUGGAAUGGUCAUAUAUACUCAUAUAGAUGGUAAAAAACCUAAAAUUAACUUGUAUUUCACUUAUUUCUAAAUGAUAUUAUGAUGUUAUAAAUUUCUAUUAUUAGUCUCCAAAAUGUUGUCACUAUCCUACGACCUACAUGCAUUACUUCGUAUUUCAAUUACACUGCAACUUUAAUUUGAAACAUUUCUUAUAUGUGGAAUGAAAUCGGUAUGUAUAUAUCCUCAGGGCUUCUGUAUUUUGAAAAGAAUGUUUAUUGGUGGUUAUCUUCUUAUCUCAUACUUAAUUCAUAAAUCACAUACAUUUUGUUGUUUUACAAAAAAGAAGUUAAACUUGUUAACUUCCUUAGGCCGAAUCAAAAUAAACUUCUUAGUAUUUGCAGACUUUCUUCAGUUUAAGCUUCUCACAUAUUUUUAUGAUGAAUUCCAAAAGAUAAAGAUAGCAUAUUCUCCAUGGGGAAAUUUCAAUCUACGGAAUUUCCAUCACGCUGUUAACAACAUUCCGAUGGAUAACUAUCUACUUGAAUCAGGCAGUGUUGAUAGUUCAAGAAGCAACAAUCUAGGUAUCUCUCCUUUGAUUUCUUUCUUCUUCUGAUAAAUUUAUGAGAAAAAACAGUUAAAGAAAAGGAAAACUCAUAUGUAGGUAGAUUUAUUUUCGCAUCUUUUUUAUUAAUCUCACAGAUGUCGAAUUCAGAAAGCUUCUUAGUCAUGAAUCAUUGUACCCUUGGAAUGGUAAAUAUGCUCUGAAGAAAUUGAUUUUCAUUAGCUCUUACAUGAUCACAAUUGAUGAAUCUCUCAGGAAAGUAAUCAUGGUAUGCUGGCUUACUUUUCAGCUCUUUUCUAUAUAAAUAUUAUUUUCCCUUUUCUAUUUUUAGUCAAACUAAUUUUGACUAUUCAACUAGGAAGCAGCAGAACAGUGUAUUAUGGUGGAGUUUAUUAUGCUGGAACAAGAUCAUUAUCAUGACUUGCCUUACAGAUCAGAAUUAUUUUUAGAUAGUAUAUCUGAUCUUGAAAAUUGUGUGUUCCGAAGGUAUACUCCUGGUGAGUUUUUUAACUAUCUAUGGCUUCAUGAGGUUUUUUCAAGUGUGUGCAUUUGAAUAUUCCUAUACUAGAAAAUGUUAGGAUUCCUAUAUUGAUGUCAAUAAGUGCAAUGUUGGAAGUUCAAACUUCAAUAUCGUGCAAAAAUAAAAUAUAAAUCACUUACAAUUGUGAUUUUUUUAAAUCCACGUUAGAAAAUGUGUCCGUGUUUGUGUUUCAUAAGAUAUCAGUGAGUUUCUCCACAUGUGAGGGAAUUUACAUGAUUGCAGACUUUCGGGUCUUCUGUGGGCUUGUAAAGAAAUGGAUGCAAGAACUAAAUGGUGAACCAGUGCAAGCUGUUUUUAUCUUUGAUGGGAAUAUUGCAGGCUUCAAAAAUAAAAUUUAUUGCAGCUUGAAUGCUUCCUCUAGUCCCAUAGUUGAUGGGUUUCACAUUUCUCAGGUACAGAGAUUUAGAAUACUUGUAGAUUAUUUUUAGAAGUGACAUGCUGACUGCAAUGUCAUUUUAGAUUAUUUUUCUAUGCUAUUUAAUAAUUUGUUGUUAUACUAUUUAACUUAGAUUAAUAUUUGGAUACAAGGACAAUUUGUUAAAUCUCCAAUUCUCCAUUGACAAAACUAAAGUACCAAAUAGUGAAUUUAUUACUGCCACAAAAAUAGAAUAUAAAGGAAACCCUUCAUAGAAGGAUAAAACCUCUGGGUGAUAUACUGAUAUAUCAUAACCCAUCUAAUACAUCUUCAAGUAAAUUGAAGUUGGUAAGGUACUCAUUGGGAAUAGAAAACUCAUAACCUCGUCCACUUUUUAGUGUCAUAACACCACUUGGGAUUCCUUUAGUGAAUUCAUGACUGCAAUAUCACUUUUGAUUUUUUAUUGUUUUGAUAGAACUCAUAACCUCAUCCACUUUAGUGUCACAAGACCACCUGAGUUUCAUUUAGUGAAUUCACGACUGCAAGAUCACUUUUGAUUUUUAUUGUUUUUGUAUGAAAUGGUCAAUGUAUUAGAGUUUAAGAUAGAAAAAUGUGCAUGUUGUUGGUAGGAUAUUUUACUCGAAGAAGAUUGCCAGUGUAAAUUAAGUUUAUUAACUAUUUCUUUUAUAGACUUGUAGGUGCCACGGCCGUCCCAUUGAAAGUAUAAUUUCAAAGACGAUUAAGAAACUAUCAUGUCCGGUUACUAACUGUAAUAUCGAGGCUUCUGAAGCAAAUAGAAAUGCAGUGGAAGUUGGAGACAAUACUCUAUUGUUUCUACCUUCUUCCCAUGAUUUUCUAAAGAAACAAAAAGUUCCUCUACUUAUCACUUUCAAUAUUUCGGAACGUAUCAACUUGUCAUCAUUGGAUGAAGGUUCUACACUUCAUUAUAAUUAUGAUUUAUGAGCGAGACAUUUUUUUUUUUGUACCAAAUUUUAAGCAUCAAUUGAUCAAUUAUACUGGAAACCAUUAAAACUUUGUCUAUUUAUAAUGUGAGAGUUUUAUUCUCUAUUUAGUAUGGGGGUUGUAAAUUUAUACUCCAAGGAAAAAAAUGAAAGAAACUCCAAACAUGGUGUUUGUGGACAUACUUUGAAAUUUAAAUACCCUUAAUUUUGGAUUGCGGUAUUGUGGAACUGCUUUGCAAAGUUUUUUUAUUUAAUCCCAUUCUCAUGUUGAUGAACAGAUGUUAAUCCAAACUUUAGAGCCAAGCUAAGGAAUAAUUUGAAAUAAUCAAGGAAUAAAGUUUCCUGAAAGUAUUGUGUUAUUAUCUCUGUUUCAAAGGAAACUGUCCUUUUAUUUUCUAGAGAGUGUAUAUUGAAGGACAUCUUUGGAUUAACAUAAUGAUUACUUUUCAGUAGUCAGUACAACGAACAUUGAGAUUGCCAGAAAUAUUUUGAAACUGUGUAGGACUCAAAUAUAAAGUAUAUUAGUAUAUUUCGGUUUUCAUUAAUGCAUAAUAAUUGACAAUAUCUAAUACUCUGAUCCAGUAGGGAUUGGGACAUCACAGUGAUCUGGGUAAAUGCCAACCAACUACUUUAGGGAGUCUUCCGGAUUUUGGGUAUCGACUGUCGGGUUCCAAUGACGAGUGAAGUGGCAUGAACGCCUAACUGUAGACGCUAUAAAUCCAAUUUUAGGUAGGGUUGCUAGAGUUCUGGAGUGGAGAAAAGGUGUCUGAGGAGUGGUCAUGGGAAUAAUGUGUCAUGUGGGAGGUGUCCUCUAUUUAUUUGGAUUUUGAAGCAGUCGUCUAGACUUAGCAAGGAGAGAGGGAUGAUGCUUGAUUAGCUCGAUCUAUCCUCAAACUGCAUUGUGUACUUGCAGCCUUAAUUAAAUUACCCAAUGCAUGGCUGCAUGCGCAAUGAGACCGAACCCAAUUCAUAGUUCGGUGGAUUGGUUGCCCAAUCUCCAUUUGGGGCCUUGCCUUUAUGGGGAUCAACUCAUCAAUAAUCUAUUGCAAAUUUACAAUUAAUAUAUUUUGAAAUAUUGUCUAUUAAAUAUUAAACACGUGCAUUUUGAUUCUUUUAUUUAUUCGUUACAUUAUUUUCCUUUUUAUCUUAAUAUAUAUAUUUUUUAUAAUGCUCGUAUUUAUUUUGGAGCAAGUAUUUGUUUUAUUUCUGUUGAGUAAUGUUAAUAUUAGUGGUCACAACUCACAAUUUCAUAGAAUUACGAGAUAUUUAAUUGAUUUAGUGGUCACUUAUCUGUCUAUUCUUGAUUAGUUCAUUUAGUUGGUAUUUCAAUAAUUCUAGGUAUGAUAUUAGGGAGACCUUAUGCUGUGAUUCCUGCAGCCAGUAACGAGAAUGAUGUGGUUUUAGAUGAAUAUGAGGAUUCAGAGAUAAACUGUCAAUGUAAUCUUUCCAAAUAUUUAGUAUUUUUACUAUGGAUUUUUGAAAUAAUUCUUUAUCUUUUAAUGCAAAUGCAGUUUUUCAUGGACUGCGUGUUUCACUUUCUCAAAUGGAUCAGGGCUUAGUUUGUGUUUCAAGAUUUAAUACUGAAACCAUGAAGACCACAAUAUUCCAGUGCUAUUACGUUCUUCAGCCUUCAAAUUGUGGCCCCAUGCUAUUAAGAGUUAGUGAAAGUGCGAAACAUUAUGUUUUUUGAAACCUCAUGUUUUCAAUCGACUCUGAUAUAUAUACAUACAUAUAUAUAUAUGCAAUUUUGCAUACCUGUUAUAUCACUUUUGCAUCAUUUAUUCUUGAGUCUUUUUUAUUGAUUUUUCUCUCUUUAUGAACCAAUGCGUGCGUUACAUAAUGCAUAUUGUUGACAAUUCUAAAAUCACACACAUGCUUUGUUCUGCAUGACUGUAUGCACAAAGAGAUGUUACAUAUGUAAUAUAAUGGAAAUGGUAUCUGUAUUUAUAAAAAAUGUUGAUUUAUUCAUGGAUUGAUAGAGCAUAUAAAAUAAAAAUGACAUUUCAUUUAGAUAAUUUUUUUUACAAAUGAUGGAUAUUAUUAUAGUUUUUUUGUAGUACUGAUCUAUUAAGUUUUAUUUUAUUUAUAUUUAACCACUAAUUAUCAGCAAACAUGCAUACAAUAUGAACCAAGACUAGAAAGAAGAGAUUAUGAUGAUGAGUCUAGUAAUAUUACAUUAAUACCAUCGAAACCAUCUUGAUCUUUGAGCUCCAUUAAGUGAAGUUUACAAAUAACUUUAGGGAUUUUUGUUAAGAUAUUUUGGAUAUAGGGUUGCACUUCCAACUAAUAGCAUUUUUAAUGUUACUGUUACUAUAAUUAAUGCUUUGAUAUUAAGGAUUUAUUCAUGCAAUUUUAUAUAAUAGGAAUCGAGGUAUUAUAUCAUCUAAGAGUUGUUAGUUGUUACCAUAUUUCUGAAUAUGUUUAAUUCUUUUUGAUGUUUUAACUUUUCAGAGACUUGCUGCAUUAGAGGAAGUUUUGCCCAUCCCGGUAUCAAUGCUGUCAGAUAUGAAUGUCUCAGAUGAUACCAUGGUUUCGAUUCGUGCAUCUAUAUCAAAUGUGAGACCAUUUCAUUUCAUUUCAUUUCAUCAAAUGUUCAAAACUCACAACAAAGUUUUGACAUGUUUCAUAAAAGAAUGAAACCUUUUCUUCUGUUGAUCAAUGAAAUAACACUGUACGUAUUGCGUUAUUUUUAACCAAUAGACUGAUUUUCGUGAUUGGGUUAAUAAUGACCGCAUGCUUUUUUUUUCAGUUGAAACUGACAGAUUAUGAUCCUCUUAUGCAUGUAAGAGGUUUUCACAUGAAGCUGAACUCACUGGUCAAUGAGAGCUUGGAAUCAGGGUAAUUAAUCUCUUAUCCCUAUAUAAUACUAUCCUUUUCUCAUAAAGCACACCUCAUUAGCUUUAAUAUCAACCCAUUUCUAAUUAGACUUCAUGGCUCUUUAAUUUUCUAGAAUUCAAGUUUUCUUUAUGUGUAUACAGUAUGACGACCCAAACCCAACAUAUAUUUCCAAAUUCUAAAUUGUAGAAAAGUUAAUAUUUUGAAUUAGAGGAAUGGCAUAAAUCAUAUUAGGCACAAGACAUUUGCCUCAGUUUAGGAGAAAGUCAGGAAGCUGGCCUUCAAAUUCAUCUUGGAUGGGACUCCCAUCAUGGGAGUAAAAAGAACUCUUUGAUCCCAAAGGAUUUUGUCCAAAUCAGAGGGGGGAGGCUAGGGAUUAGGGACCUCUCUAUCAUAUCUAAGGCAGUGAGCAUUAAGAAAGCUGCAAAUUUUUGAGAAAAGAGUGACUCCAUCUUGGUAUAAUGGAUUGAGAAGAGAUUAGGGGGAAGGAAAUCUUGGACAUCCAAAUAAAACCCUCCCUUGACUCCUAUCUCUGAAAAUUCUUCAUGACAUCAAGGGAUAUCAUAGAUGGUAGUUUGGAUUGUAGACCCCAUUACUCAAUAGUAUGGAGAUUAGGCACCAUUAUCAAGAUAUUUGGAGGAAUCACCGAUGCAAACAGGGAUAAGAGCCAUAAGGAUCAGAUGGCAGAGGGCAUAUGGUCACACGUCAAAUUUCCAACCAAAUUCUCUAUAAUGGAGGAACAAGUGGAACAUGCUUAAUCCCUUUAGGGAGUUAAAAUGAUUGGGGAUAAUUUCUUUAUGGAUUCCUAACCGAAACUUUUCUAGAUGUGUCCCUGGGUAUUCCUUUAAUAUUUCAUCUAAUAAGAAUAAUUCUUGUAAUUCUAUGAAUGUUUCUAAAAUCUUUUUUUCUUGAAUAUCAUUCAAAAGCGUUUUAGAUUGCUUGAUAUUCCACCAAUCAGUAAUCCAAGGUUCUAAAUAUUUAUUAAACGCUAGAGAGACUAUCAGGGCAAAAAUACUAUAAAUGCAAGAUAAGGAAGAGAGGAAACAAAAUGCUUAAGCCGCACAUUCAGACCACCUGAAAUUCUACUAAGGUUAGUUAUUUAGGACAUUAUUUUCUCCUUCAGUCCAGAGAGGCACAGGACGAACUGCUGUCAUCCACUAGAGUUUGGAGAUCAAUCUCUUGACAAUGUAUCUAAGUUAUUACUAAUAGAAACAUAGCUCAUUGCGAUCCUUAAAGUUUUUUUUGAGAAGUGAUCAGAGACAUCAAUCUCUUCUUCAGGCCAGAGUGCUAUAGAAAAAGUUAUUGUCACUCUUUGGAGAAUACUACACAUUAGAUGUGGAAGACCAAUUUCCUGAGGCAACCUAUCUAGUUGAUUAUCAUUAGGUAGCAUAGCCAAUUGGAAAGUAUUGAUGUGUCAAAAAAUCCAUCAUCUCCCUUUUUAUCCUUUUGUUUUCCUCAAUGUAACUCAGGCAUUGCCCCUCAUUAUUCUAAUGAAAUUUUUUAUCUGCUUCAAAAAAAAGAAAAGAAACAUAGCUAUAUAGGAAAGAGUUCCGGUGCAUCUCGCAUUGAGCGCACUAAAAACUAUGAGAGUCGACGAGUUCAUACUCAUCUCCCUUUUUUUUUUCAUAUCUAUUGUAUUUUUAGGACGACCUUCAUUAUUAAUGAGAAAAUUUAAUUUCAUCAAAAAAAAGAAUGGCAUAAAUCGAUAAUCAAUGAUGGCAAUGAUGGUCGUUGUCUUUAGUCUCCAGUCUAGUUUGGUCAUAUUAUUAUUUUUUUUUGAGGAAUUAAAUAUUUCAUUACUGAAAAAGUGAUGGUGGGCAUUGCCCGAUUACAAUGUAGUAAAAUGUAAAACAUGCAUAAAUGAAAACAUUGAAUGAAAACAUAAAAAUAUGUAGUUGCAUUGUCACUCUCUUAUAAUAGCUUUGUCACCGGCAAUGUAGCCAUAGACUAAUGCCUCGAGAGGUUGGACUCUGGAGGUCAAAGUGUGUGUUGUUUUAAUCUUCUGUUUCUUUCGCCCCAAAUGUGCCAAGUUAAUCCGCCUAGUGCUAACCAGUAUGUGCCCCAACAGCUUGCUCUAUGUGUAUUUUUCUCUAUAGUUUCCAUUAUGUCACCAAUCCUAAUAAAUCAUAGGGGAUGGAGGGGAUUGCCCCCUCUUUGCCUAUACCGCGUUAUUUAGGUUAUUUGUGACAUCCGGGAGGAGGUAGGUGUCUAGAGUAUGGACAGUUGAAUUGUUUCCUCCUCUGUCCCACAUAGAAUUCACGUGGUUUGUAGGUUAAUUCCCCAUCCCUGCAGUCUGGUCAGUGUAUUCAGACUUUUAGAUUUUAUUCUCCAGAGGAAUAUGGAGAAUUUGGGGGGCAUUUUUGACCAGAUUUCGAGAUUCAGGGCGUGUGCUAUACGGCUAUACCUUUAGGUCUAAUAACCUCCGAGUAUGGGAGUGUAUUUAGCCUGAUGGUUCUAUUGUUACUGAGACAUUCAACGCAAAAAUUGAUUGUUUCCUUAGUGUCAAGUAUUGUUUUCCACAUAUGGAAUCUAUUGUGGGUCUUAUAGUGAUGUCAUUUAUGUGCAAUCCUUUAACAUAUCUAAUUUUCAUCUAUUUAGAAAAAAUUGAGUUGUUAGGAUUCCAACGUUUCUCUGCCCUUUUAACUAUUGCUGUAUUCUUGGUUGCAAAGAAGUCUCUCACCUCUAUACCCCCUUCCUUCUUAAGGAGUGCCAUUUUCUUCCAACUACUGUUCCUCCUACUACCCCUUAGUUUGGUCAUAUUAGUGCACACCAUAUGAUGUGUGUUCUGUGGUUUGUGUCUCUUUGGACUAUUUGGUUUUCCAUAUAGUGAAAAUGGUUGUCUUACUGAUAUCAGCACUCAAAUUUAACUAUUUGGUUUGUGUCACACUUUUUUGUGUGGUGAAUUUACCCUUCAACUUGGUUGAAUAAAAGGUUUGACUAUUGCCUAUAUGAUAUAGAUGAAAUCUCGUAUUAGCGUUUUCUUUUGUUAAGUAAACGCAUUUGACAAAUUAUGGUUAUUGAACAAGGAUUUACUGAUGCCUUUAAAUGAAAGCAUCUUUCAGGACAAUACCAGAGCAGGCAGUUUUCAAGAGUACAGAUAGGACCACUUUUGGAUCAGAGGAUUUGGUGCUCUCACAGUCAAUUACCAAAAAUUGUGAAGUAGAAAUGCAAACUGUAGAUGAUAAAAUGAACGACAAUGAUGAUAUGUCAAGUAUUACAAAGGAAUGGGAGCAACUUCUUGUAGUUGAUAAUGUUAAAGACUGUCGAUUGUCUCCCUCAUUUUCCAAAUACGUGACAGAGAAGGAGGAGAUCUUGACAUCACAGAAAAAACAUAUUGGUGAGCAGACAUCAAGGAUUCUUGAGAGAUUAGAACCACCAAAGCAGCCCAAGCUUGUUCGAACAACACCCAUUAUUGGAAGUGGAGUACAGAAGAAACCAUUGCUUCCUAUCAAUUCACAAAACAACGAGCAGAAGAAGCCAUUGAAGCCUAGUUUUCAUAGAUUAAAAAGAAAAUAGUUUUGUUAAUAUUACAAUUUCAGGAAAUUAAGGUACCAUAUUUUCGUAUGGUUGGUUAAAUAUUUGUUGUUGUUUUGGCAAAUAUUUAAACGAUGAUAUAUAUUGUUUUUUCUCUUAUUCUGAUAAUUAGAAUUCAAGCUUUGGAUAUUCUCAUCUCUCACCAUCACACUGUCACACUAGUUAUAAUCAAUUUCACUUAUCUUAUUAUAUUUAACUUCAAUUUCUUGUUUCUCUAAUAUAUGUUUUAAUAGUUAAUGUAUUGCGCCGAUUCUUUUAAAAUUAGCAACAAUUUUUUUUUGAUAUCAGGAUUCAAAAUAUGCAUUUAACUUGAUUUUUUUUAAUAAUAGAGGGUACCUUUCUACAAGUAGAAAGAUUUACCUUUGGAUAAUACACCAUAAUUAUAUAAUAUAUCACUGGUUAUAUUGUGAUAAAAAUUAUGUACACAAGACUAAAACCAUGGACUCUCAACAAUUUUAAUAGUUAUUGUGAUCAAUUGUGUUAAUCUCCUUGUGUAUUUAACUUAGAUAUACCACCUAUUCAAGGAUGACAAACCGUAUUAAUUCUGGAUACUCAUACCAUCAAACUUGUAAUUGUUUGAAAAUGGACGUUUUCUGUUGAUCUAGUGUUUAUUGUUGUAAAAUGUAAAUAUGUGUGUUGAGGUGAAAUUUAGGAUUCAAUGCUCUCUAUUUUAGUAAAUUUGUAUUAGACAUUUAGACGUCCUCCAUCUUCUUUACACAAUUACAACUAAGGACUAGAGGAAGGUAGUAGCUACAUACACCAGACCCUAAGGCCUAAAUGCCAUAGGACCUCCGACAAAAAAGAUUUAAUUAAAAGAAAUUGUCAAAUGUACACACCUAAGAUUGGUAUGGAGUUAAAAAUAAUCACUUAUAAUUUUUUUAACCAUUUUAUGCUUACAAUUAAUUCAAAUCUUCGAAGAUGCCAUUGUCAUUAAAUCUUCGAAGAUGCCAUUGUCGGCAGAUUUUUUGGCCAAAAAAAAACCCAUCGUCCUCCUCCCUCCCUCAGUGCUACCAUCCGACGGGCAAGGAGAGAGUCCGACACCUUCAUGGCCGGGUCCUCCUCCUUCAUCGCCGGCUCCUCCUCCUUCAUCAAUGGUUACUUGAGGAGAGAUGAUGGAAAAAAAUCAAUAAAAUAAGACCAGACCAGAAGCAAGAAUAGGUUCUGGAAUCAAUCUGAAAUCAAUCGCGGAGUCAAGUUCAUGAAAGAAUCGUAUAUGGAAAUCUGAGUCGCGUUCUUGGAAGAAUCCCGUAUGGAAAUUUGAGUCGCGUUCUGGAAUUAAUCUCGUUCUUCAAAAUCGCAGAGACAGGAGACAUAAUCAAUCAGAAAUGUUUGCGCCGAGAAAAAAAUCGCAAAGCAAACUGGUCUCGUAAAAUCGCGAAAGAGAGAAAUAAAUCGCGGACAGAGUGCGGAUGAAUCGUAGAAUCUCCAAGAACUCGCUUGCUGCAGAAAUCGCGUGCUGCAGAAAUCGCGUAAUCGCUUGCUGCAGAAAUCGCGAUGGAUCUGGAAGAAAUCCGUGAAGUGUGUGCAGGAAUUGCGUGCGUGUUGCAGACUUGCCGAAGAAACUGGUGCAUGCGUGCUGGAAUCAUCAAGAAAUUUCACAGAAGAAGGUGAUUGCGUGCGUGACACCGUAACGGGUUGUCGGUUUAGGGUUAUACCAACAGGUAUAAGAAUUAACUAAUUAUUAGAGAACCCAAUCAGUUAGACAGUUAAUUAUAACAGAAUAAUCUAGAUCACAAACAGAUCAUAAACAACAUCUAUAAAUAUGUAACAAUUAGUCAAUACUUCAUAUACAAUUUGGUGAAUCAAUUUUAUAUGGUAUCAGAAGUUCCGGGUUUAGAAUUAUGCCAUUUUCCGCUUCAGAUUCAGACCAUCAUCCAGCCAACAUUGACGCAAACGCUCCAUCAAAAAGGAUAGUGAUAAAGCCGAUGAAAUGCGUCCAGCUUGAUAAGAGUAAUUACUAAUCAUGGGAAGCGCAAUUUUCUGCCAUGCUCCGGGGGUUUCAACUAUUUGAUUACGUCCUAGGAAGAGUCGAUCUAUCGUCGCCAUCAUCAAUCCAGCAAGAUCAGUUGAUCUUGAGCUGGAUAUUGACUGGGAUCUCAACAACCAUUCUUCCUCAAGUGGCAUCUCGGAAAACGUCGACAGAAGUUUGGGAUUGUCUGCCCAAACUUUACGCCUCUGGAACACAGGCACGCCAGCUCCACAUCCGCCUUUAACUCCGUUUAAUCCAUAUCUGACAUUUUCGGGAGUGUGCAAGUUACUGAUGGAUCAUAACCUUCGCCUGGAGAAAUCAAGAUCGAAUUAAUGUAGAUGCUGUCAACGCCGCUACCAAAACAACUCAUUCCGGCUUUAACCAAAAGUCGUCCAAAACAGAACUUCGAUGUCAGAUAUGCACAAAAAGGGGGCAUAGCGCUGCUGAUUGCUAUAACCGAUUGAAUAUGGAUCGGUUUCCAGCCUCUCACGGGAGGGUACUGAUUUCGCUCGGCUCAAAUGGAAGCAUACGAAAUCAGGUGUUGGCAAAUCUGAUGACUUCAUCGACCGGUACAACAACAAUGUGGUACUCUGAUUCAGGGGCCACAUCGCACAUUACAGCCGCAUCCGAGAAUAUUCAAUAUCCUAGAGCGUAUAACGGUAAAAUUUUCACAGCAGAUGGGAGCCCAUUAUCGAUUUCUUACUCUGGCCAAAGCAGGGCUAUUCCCGAUUCUAAUAACUUUGUUCUUCAUGAUUUACUACUAGUCCCUACGGCCAGGGGCGUAUCCAGGGGGGGCAAGGGAGGGCAAUUGCCCCCCCUAAAAUUUGGAAAAUAUCCGAGGACCUAUAUGUAAUUAAAUUUUUUAUAGGGGGUUAAGUGUAAUUUUCACAAUAUAUUAAUAUUUUUUAAGGGUUAAUAUAUAAAUUUCACAAUAUUUAUAUAUUAUAUAAAUUUUACAAUAUAUGUAAUUUUAAGUUUAAUUACAUAUAAAUCCCUAAAAACUUAAAUAUCCCUAAAUUUCUCCCCCAAAUCUUCUUAAUCCCUAAACCUCUCCCCAAAUUUUCUAAAUCCUUAAACCUCUCCCCCAAAUUUCUAAAUCCCUAAACCUCUCCCCCAAACCCAAAACCCACGAUAUUUCCCCAAUAUCCUCCAAAUUUCCCCAAUAUCCCCAAUAUCCCCAAAACCCACGAUUUCUCCAAAAAUCUCCCCAAUAUUUUUUCGCCAAUAUUAUUUCCCCAAUCUCAUUUUCCCCCCAUCCUCCAAUCUCGUUUCCCCCAUCUAAUUUCCUUCAAUCUUGUUUCCCCCAUCUAAUUUCCUUCAAUCUUGUUUCCCCCAUCUAAUUUCCUUCAAUCUUGUUUCCCCCAAUCUCCUUCCCCAAAACUCACGACUUCCCCCAAUCUCUCCUCCUCCCAUCCACCUCACGAUCAUCUCAGGGUCAACCGGUCAAGCUCUCACGUUCUGACCACCGUCCAUCGAGAUUCAGUUAUUGUACCACAGCCCACAGGACACCACCACCAUCGGAUUUCACUGCCUUCAGUUCGUCUCCACUCUCUAGAGUCCAGUCUCCGCUACUCUCUAGCCUUUAGGCUCUAGGUAUGUCCGUCUAUCUUGAAUUCUUGAUCCGUUUGUGUUUAACCUAGCUUGAUCCGGAAAAAAAUGUACCAUUUUAAAACAGGAUAAUGAACCAUUUGCAAAAAAUUGAAUUGAACUAUCAUCAACCUGAAAAAAUAUGAAUUUUCAUCAUUCCAUGUGAUUUUUUAAAACAGGGACCUAAAUUGAUUAAAUAUCCAUGUGAAUUUUAUUUAUUUCUUUAAUUAAUUAAAGAGGAACAUUUUAUUUAUUUCUUUAAUGUGAUUCCCACAUUAAAACUCGUCUCAGAAAUCGCCUUGGUGAUAGUUUGAUGAAUGAUUGUUUAGUAACAUAUAUCGAGAAAGAUAUUUUUAAAACUAUAGACAACGAAGUUAUUUUAAAAAUAUUUAAUGAUAUGUGUCUUCGUCGUAGGACAUUGAAGUAAUGUAAAAUGUAUUUGAAAUUUUUAUUGUUAAUUAAAUGAAUGUAUUUAUUUUUAAUUUGAAUAUUAAUUAAUGUAUUGAAUAUUAAUUAUAUAAUGAAUGUAUUGAUUUUUUAUAGGUUUUUAUAAUCAAUUAUAUGAAUAGGUCAUGCCAAAAUUUGUAUAGGUUUUUUAAUUAGUACAAAAAAAUGUCGGGGAAUCCUGGAUACGCCACUGCCUAUGGCUACUAGGAAUUUAUUGUCGGUGAACAAAUUUUGUAUUGAUAACAAUGUCUCUAUUGAAUUUGAUUCACAGAAGGUGCGAGUGAAAGGCUCGGCUACUGAGACAGUGUUGCUGAAAGGAACGGCAAACAGGGGAUUGUAUGAAUUGCCAAUGGUCAUCAAACCGACCGCAAAUUCUGUGAAUUUGUGCGAGAAUAACCUACCGGCUCAUUAUCUAUGGCAUUGUCGCCUGGGCCAUUUAAAUUCUGUGUAUAUGAGUGUGUUGGAAAAACGAGGUUUAAUAAAAUUCGGUGUUAAAACAUUUAAACUGUGUAACUCAUGUCAGCUUGGUAAAUCACAUUCUCUUCCUCAUCCUUCUCGCGCAAUUGUAUACAAGCCACUAGAACUUAUCUUUUCAGAUAUUUGGGGACCGGCUCCCAUAAUCUCAGUAGAGGGGUAUUCAUAUUAUAUCAGUUUUGUAGACGCUGGUACAUGUUUUAAUUGGGUAUACCCUGUUGCAUGAAAAUCCGAUCUAUAUCAUGUAUUUGAAAAUUUUCGAACAUGGGCAGAAAGAAAUUGUGAAAGCAAAAUUUUAGCCUUACAAACAGAUAAUGCAAUGGAAUACCGGAAAUUAGGGAAAAGAUUGGAAGAAUUGGGUAUAUCUCACCGUAUGUCUGCCCCAUACUCACACCAACAAAUGGGUCGAGUAGAGAGGAGACAUAGGCACAUAGUCGAUACAAUAGUUACAAUGCUACGCCAUGCAAAUUUACCUAAUCAAUUCUGGGACUACGAGGUGUUAACGUCUUGUUAUCUGUACAACAGAAAUCCUACACCACUAUUAGCCAGGAAAUCUCCAAUGGAGGCACUAUUUAACAAAACACCGGAAUAUUCAAAAUUUCGUGUAUUCGGAAGCAGGUGUUACCCAUGUCUUCGACCUUAUCGGAAGAACAAGCUAGAGGAAAAAUCUGCUGAAUGCAUAUUUGUAGGAUAUUCUAUGAAUCAGAACUGCUACUUAUGUUUCGAACCAAUCAGUCGGAGAGUUUAUGCUUCUCGCGAUGUCAAGUUUGAUGAAGAACAAUUUUCUUUAAAUAAAGAAGUGUUUGGGGACAAAAAUGACAUUUGUACAACAAAUGAUAUCUGACCCAAACAAACAAAAUUGGAGAAGUUACCAAUUACAAGUCCGAUUAAUCCCAUUCCGGUUUUGGCAACUACGGUACCCGAUUUACCAACAAAUAGUAGCCCUCCAACCGAGUCAAGUCAUCCGAGUGAAACAAGAAGUUCAACUCCCGUGUCUGACCGGCCAAUCGAAACAUCAUUGGAUGAGACAGAGUCGUCGAACCAGAAUCCGUCGAUAGACGAAGCCAACACGAGAGAAUCCGAUGAUCUAGCAAGUACUGAAUCUGUGAAUGAUCUAUCUGAAGGCAGCGAGAAUCCAACACGGACGACGAUGGUCACCAGAAGCUCUGUUGGGAUUUUUAAACCCAAUCCAAAGUUCGUCUUGGCUACAACAGCGUCGGAGAUCUCGAUUCCAAAAUCAGCAAAAUCAUUCCUGCUCAUUCCUCAAUGGAAGGACGCUAUGAUCAGAGAAUUCAACGCGCUCUGAGACAACGGUACAUGGACGCUAGUCCCAUGCCUACCGGAAGAUAACAUAAUCAACACCAAAUGGGUGUUCAAAGUUAAAUCAAAAGCAGACGGCACAAUAGAACGUUUCAAGGCGCAUCUCAUUGCAAAUGGGUUACGACAAAUCCACGACACAGAUUACUUUGACACAUUUAGCCUGAUCGUCCGACCAUUAUCGAUUCGUAUGGUUCUAUUGUUAGCAGUAUCCAGAGGAUGGGAAUUUCAUCAGGUCGACGUGUCGAACGCUUUCUUACACGGCAGUCUCAAGGAGAGAAUUGUUGUUUCACAACCAUAUAGAUUUACAGAUAAUAAGAAUCAUGACCAAGUUUGUCUUCUCCGUAAAUCUCUGUAUGGACUUAAACAAUCACCAAGGUGCUGGUUUCAGAAGUUGAGUGGAUUUCUGGGAACAUUAGCAUUCAAAGAAUCGGCGGUCGAUCCAUCGUUAUUCAUUUACCAAACAAAUUCAGUAACAAUAUUCUUGUUCGUCUAUGUAAACGACAUAGUGAUUGUGGGAUCGGAUGAAGAGGAAGUCAAGAAAGUGAUAGAAAAAUUGGGGAACGAAUUUCCCACACGUGACUUAGGCACUCUGGAGUACUUUCUAGGUGUCCAAGUCAAGCGCGUCAAAGAUGGUUUACAUUUGUCACAGACACAGUACCUUCUUAAUCUACUCUGGAGUUGUGAUAUGGGAGAACUAAAAGCGGUUUCUACUUCAAUGUUAGCAGAUGUCUACCUACGCUCAGACGAUCCGGUUAUUGACAAUCCAAGUGAAUUCCGAAGAAUCAUAGGCUCGCUACAAUACAUCACAUUAACAAGACCGGAUGUCCAAGUUGCAGUUAACCGGCUCGCCCAAUUCAUGGCAGUUAACCGGCUCGCCCAGGAUGGUACAUUGGAUAGUCAUAAAACGCAUACCAUGUUACCUAUUCGGAACCCAAACACACGGAAUUGCACUAAGACGGGUCGAUAGUUUUGGGAUCACGGCAUAUUGUGACGCAGACUGAGGAGGUGAUACGGUGGACCGCAAAAGCUGCACAAGUUUUCUAGUUUAUGUAGGAGGAACGUUAGUAUCUUGGGUGUCAAAGAAACAGAACACACUGGCUCGAUCGAGCACAGAAGCAGAAUACCGGGCGAUAGCCACUACGACUCAAGAAGUGGAGGCAGUUCGACUAGCACUAGUUGAAUUAGGGGUGAAGGUACCACGAUCAAUGGUGAUACUAUCGGAUAACAUAAGAGCAUUAAUGUUUAUCGCGAAAAACCCAAUCGGGCAUAUAAAACUUAAACAUGUGGCCCUCGAUCUAUACUUCGUUCGCGAAAAAGUACAAAACAAGGAGAUCAUAGUAAAGUGUAGGAAUAAGAUUCUCAAUGAUAUAUUUAGUUGUUAAUUAAUUUAAAAUAUAAUAAACCUUAAUUAACAAGAUAUAGAUAUAUAUGAGUUAAAUCUAUAUGAAUAAAUCUAUUAAACUCAUAUAGAUAAAAUUGACUUGAUAUAUGAUUAAACUAAAGCGAGAUUAGUAUUAAUUAUUUUCAUCAAACAAAUCUCUACUAUUGAUCAAGUUAAUUAUUGAAGCUUGUAUUUAAUUAUGCACACCUAUUUGCUUGCAUUAACUCUUGUUUUAAGUUGAUCAAUGUCUUAAAAGUUAAUCAACAAGGUGUAAAAGCUACAACUAUUUAUUCAAACUUCAAAUGGACCCAAAGUGUAGAAAACGUGUAGAAGUGCAAUCAUGAUAAAUUUCAAGAGCAUAUCCAAUAUAUUAACUAUAAGAUCUUAGAAUCAAUGCUACACAAAAUUAAUCUAGAAGAAGAAUUCAAAUUGGAGCAAGGCAAAACGUGUAAAGGUUCAAUCUCCCAAAAUAAAACACAAUCAUAAUCUUGAAUUAAAUGCUACACAAUCUCCCAAGAUCAAAUUCAAGUUCAAGUGAAGCUUCAUGUCUCUCCAACGUCUAUAUUCAAGCUUUUCUUCCUAGGAGUUUUGAAGAUGAAAAUAUUACCUCCAUGCCAUCAACGACUGCUAUAUAAAGAGGUGCACACCUAAGAGCCAAAGCUAUCACUUGCCAUCUUUGCUAAAGCUCUAUUAUUUCUCUUUUGCUCUUUCUCAAGCUCUAGCUCUCGUUCAAGCUUUGUGUGAGAGUUGCUUUCAAGGUUGUGUGCUCUAGUUCUUCAACUUUUUCUUCUUCCCUUCUUGUGUAUGUUGAGAGUGUGUUAGAAAAAAAGCUCUACAUCUUGUAAGUGGUCCAAGUAUUGUGAGAGGUUUCUCAAUACCAACACUUGUAAGAUUCUACGAGUUCAACCAUAAAACUCGGUGUGGUUCUAUAGAGUUUACAGGAAAAUUCUUAGGUUGAAUCUGCCUUAAAGGUUCAAGGAUUUUUAAGAGUUUCUUAAUACUCUUAGGUGGUUCACAAGCGUUUAGCCUUAAAGCUUGGCAAAGGUUUUUAAGAGUUCCUGAAUACUCUUAGAGAGUUCACAAGCGUUUAGCCUUAAAGUUUGGAAGAUGUUUUUAAGAGUUCCUGAAUACUCUUAGGUGGUUCACAAGCGUUUAGCCUUAAAGCUUGGCAGAGGUUUCACCAUUACCUUCAGACUAGUGAUCUCCGUGUUUCAUCAGAACUGGAUUAGCCCUUGCUUUUCGUUUUUCUAUGUUUAACGUCUUAACAAGAUAAAAACAACUAAAAGAGAUCCCUCAUCCAGUUACCUGGUUAUAGAUUGAGGUUGACUAUUUUCGUGCAGAACCCUUAUCCAGUUAUCUGGUCAUUGACUGAGGUUAUUUUCAGUACAAAUAUAUCCAGUCAUCUGGUCACUUAUACUUAUAUAUUUUAACUUAUAUAUAUUAUUUAUCUGCUUAUAAGAGAACUUGGUAUUCGUAUACCACAGUUAACUUAAAAGGCAUUUUUAUCAAGUUAGAAUAUACAUCUGUUUAUUUACUUUUAACGUGUGUCUAUAUAAUUUAGUAUUCAUAUAUUACAGUUAUAUAGAAAUCACAAUCUUAUAAGUGGACUCAAUAUCUGUAUACUACAGUAAACUUACAAAGAACAGAUAGUCUUUAUAUAUAUAUUUGUCUUUGACUUGUAUUCUCAGGUAUUCCGCAUAUCGUCUGAGAAAUCACGAGAAGAGGCUAUUACCCCCCCUAAGCCUCUGAUCCAGAUCCAACAUAAAGCACAUCCUAGGGAAAGAACAAAGGGUGGACAUAUUAACCAAACCACUGCCACCGAGAAGCUUUUCCAUAUUACAAGAAAAAUUAGUCGACAAAGCUCCGGAGGGACUCCAGGGAGGGGCUGUAUUAGAGAACCCAAUCAGUUAGACAGUUAAUUAUAACAGAAUAAUCUAGAUCACAAUGAUCAUAAACAACAUCUAUAAAUAUGUAACAAUUACUCAAUAUUUCAUAUACAAUUUGGUGAAUCAAUCUUAUACUAAUGAGAGGCAAAUUAGGAAAAAUUAAUUCCUAACAACUCCUAACCACCUAAGACCUAGGCUUGGUGAUUACUUUUGAUAACCAAGCCAUCUUAGGUAGUUAGAAAUGAAACCCACCCUUUAAUUAAAGCUUUGAAGAUAAAAAAAAUCUUCAUUUAUAUGUUGUAGCAACCCUAUGACAGGGUAAAAAAUUACGAUGGGGAACCUAGGUACAACAGAACUUCGCACCAGUGCGCGCACAUGCUUGUUUGCUACAUCUGCUCCCGUCGACUCUACCAAAUGACGUCGUCAUUUUACCCUCUUUGAGGUUGGAUCUUCAUGACACUACUGUUCACCACAGUUUCCCACCUAUUCCCGCUCCCUGACCUACCGGUGUACGAAAGUGACAAUACAAUUAGCAACAUUAACUGAGACUUCUUGGACGAGCACAGACUGAAUUAAAUAGGAUCUGCAGGCACUGGUUUUUCUCUCUCACUGUUUUACUGGUAUCUGGAUAACAAUUGUGUUCUAAUGGUUUUUUUUGUUGGGUUUUUGUCUUGGUUUACACAACAUCGCCUGGUUGUGUUUGAAAAACGAUCUACAAUGUUUUUUUCCUGGGUGAACACACAAGUUCCUUGUACUGUUUGUUUGUUGACUGUUGUAUAUUUUGUUUUUUAAAAUAUAGCUAUUGGGAGAUAUUUUUCAACAAUAUUUCAUCGGUUAUGCAAGUGACAUAUCACACACAAAAUGUAUGACAAGAUCAGAUCUGUUAAUAAAAACAAACAACAAAUGGACAGGUUCAACCAUUUGUUGAAUAUGUCAGAUACAAUACAGAAAUUCGAAGAAAAAUGGGAUUGUUGGAUGAAAGACAAUAACAUACAAGAUAAUGCGUGGUUGGAAUCUAUGUUCCAGUUAUGUCAUAAAUGGUGUCCAGUCUUUACAAGAGAUUUUUUGGGUGGAAUGCAGAGCAAACAGAGAAGCGAAGAUAUGAAUGCAUUGGUAAAGACAGGUGAAAAAACAUUCAACUUUAUAUGAAUUUGUUGGAACAUUCAACUUUAUAUGAAAUUAUCAGCAGAGAAAUUUUAAAGGAUGUGAAUAUUGUAUAUGAUUCUACAUCUUAUAAGAAGCACAAUCUUUCACAGAUUGAAAUACAAGUUAUACGCUCAUGAGAGUCCAACCUCUUGAGGCUUCAAUCCUUGGUCAGUUAGUCAGGGUCAUAGCUGUAUAAGAGAUAUACAAUGUUUUUACAUUUAUUGUAUUUGCAUUUCCCUAUAUUAUUCUGUAAUUUUGGGUUAUUCCCAACUUUUUUUUUC